Molecule: long non-coding RNA, 69259 nt
Filed under: Triticum aestivum (bread wheat)
Lineage: Eukaryota; Viridiplantae; Streptophyta; Magnoliopsida; Poales; Poaceae
Description: long non-coding RNA (TAES_LNC026920)
Rfam family: MIR1120/MIR1122 microRNA precursor family (bases 19726-19869)
Source: RNAcentral
ACCGGAGGGAGCUUGAUCCGCCUGGUCAGCUCCUUCACCAGUGGGUCUACAAGCGCCGUCGGGAGGAAUGUGAGCGUCGUGCCGGAGUCGACGAGGACGGGGGACUGGUCCGGCGCCGCGAAGGUCGCGUUCCCGACCUUGAGGGACUGGAGCUCGACGAUGUAGUAUGCCUUCACUCUGGAUGGGAUCAGCGGCGUCGUCGCCGCUCCCGGAUCCGUGACGGCGGCCCGGGGGCCGAAGUUGAGCGCGGACGAGGCCUUGACGGAGUAGGGCACGAGGCAGUAGGAGAACCUCCGGCCCAGCGAGGUGUCUGCGCCGAGUUGACUGACGAGGGAGAGGUCGCCGCCGCCGAGGCCGACGAUGCCGUCCCCGACGGACGAGCCGACGAAGGUCGUGGAGCAGCCCAAGUUGACUUUGGCCACGCGCGUCGUCCCAUCGCCGUGGGCGCCCGGGGCGUCGGCGAAGGUGAAGGUCUCUGUGGAGAGGAGGCCGCUCGUUUGGGAGCCGUCGCCGUAGGAGUAGAUGUACGUGCACUUGGAGUUGGCGUCGCAGGAAUGGGAGUCCUCCGGGAGCUCGCUGCACGUGCCGGAGUUACAGUCCACGAGGCCGAACGUCGUCGAUUUGGAGGGGUCGAACUGGACGCCCGGCGGCUGCGCGUCCGCGUCACGGGCGGCCGCCAGACCAGGACCGUCGCCUCCGUAUCUGCAAUUGAGCCAGGUGAGGUCGCUGCCGGUGUCGGCGAUGGCGACCAUACGAGUGGGCGGCGUGCCUAUGUUCACUGCCAUCAGGUACUCGCUUGUCCUGGACGUGACCUCGGACACGAAGCCGUCAGCUGAGGGCGCGUCGGCGCGGACGUAGGAGCGCGAGAGCGCCGCGGCGCGGGCAGCGGACCGCCGCGCGGCCUCCAGCGCGCGGGCGGGCGCGGUGAGCGUCGGGUCGUGGAACGGCGACCUGACGGAGUCACGGUGGAUGAACUCCACGCUAAACCCAUCGCCGCCACUGCCGGCGUACGCCGUGUACGCGCACAGCUGCGCCGUCAGGGCGACGCCGACGAGCAGGAGAGCGCGGGAUACCAUCGUCCCAUGCAUUGUGUCCCAAGGAUUAGCUCUACUGGGGUUGCUUUGCUGCCGCUGCUUCUAUGCGGAGAGCGGUAUUUAUAGGCGAAUUUGCAUAAGAUUAUAACGGUAGAUGGUUAAUGGGGAGGCGAGUGUGGUAAGUCGGGAUAUGAUAUGGAGUACUAGUCAUGAUUCAUGAACUGUUGAGUGUCAUUUAGCAGCUCACCGCGUUAUCGUGUCAUACGUAUUGCACGUCUGUGUCAUUAAUCUUACACGGAGAUUUAUCUGAGUAUUUUUCUCUUCGAUUUUUCCUUUUCUUUUUAUGCUUCAUUAAGUCACUUAGAUGUGCGAUAAUUACUUGGUGUGUCAAUGCUAUCACUUUUAUGUUUCAUUAAGUCAUCUGAGUAAUUAAGUCACCCAGACAGACCCUAUGGUAAUUACGCGUUGCGCACUACGCAUGGAAUCAAGGGUUGAUAGUGCGGUUUGCACUGCUCUUUUUGCGUAUGAAAUUGAAGACUUUUGAAGGUAGCAAUUUCUAAUCUUGUACAGCUAAUUUGUAGAAGGAGGAUUAUCUCCGGAAGAUCGGCCACUCGAGUGGCAAGAAGAGGCAGUGUUUGAUUGCUUGGUGCCACCGGCCACCUGGAAAAUUUAUAGUAAUCGUUUUCCCGUUUAAGCAUCCUUUUGUUCUACGUCUCGCUCUUCAUGUCAGGCUCAUUGAGAAAUUCCAUUCCGCACUUUUCUGCGGCAAAUAUGCAAUCCGUUACACUUCCACUUUAGCUACAUGUUAGCCAGCUGAAUUUCAAAUUUGGAUCAACUGAUUUUGAAUGAAGGACGAAGAAGGAAGGGCCUCGCCGGAGAGAAGGAGGGGCUCAGUGUCAUCGGGGGUGUAUCUGGUGCACCGGUGCACCGUCCCCCGUUGCACAUUCCAAAAUGUUCUAGAAAUAAAAAAAAUAGUGCAUUAACAUAACAUCAAUGUAUGUUGUGACAAAAAUUCAAAACAUUGCUCGAGAUACAAAAAUGACAAAUUUGAAACUGGAUAGUACAUAACACAGGUUGACUUCAAUUUUGGCUUAUUAGCACAUCAAUGUCAAAUUUUUUAUUUUUGUAUCUCAAGAAAUUUUUUAAACUUUGAUUUGAAUUUUUGUGUCAACAUAUAUUGAUGUUAUGUCAAUGCACUAUUUCUUUACGGAAUUUUUUGAAUUUUUUUGGAAUGUGCAACGGGGCCCGAUGCACCAGUCACUACAAAGAAAAGACACAUCCGUGACAUUUUGAACCGAAGGAAUUUUUUUCUUUCAUACUUAUGACACUUCUAUGACGAUAAUUGUGACAAAACCUAGUAUCAUCAUAGAUGUGGUGGGCUCCUACUUCUAUGACAAAAAAUCAUGACAGAAAAUGGGCUUUUCGUCCUGGGCGGGCCGGAGACGCAGCUGCAUGACAUUCUUUAGGUUGUACAUGACGGAAAAACCCGUGGUAGAAGCGAGGGCGAGGAAAAUUUCGGCGAGUUCCCGGUUACGGUGGGUGGUCGGGGGCCGAGCCAUGCACGUUUCUCUCGUACACGUAUGCGCGUGUGUGCGAGGCAUUGGGCUCUAACUGAACCCGAGCGAGGCGUCGCCUAACUGAACACGAGCGAUUGCACUGCAGGCUACGCGUUACUAAACCCGAGCGAUCAAGCGAUUCCUUCGCUACUGCUGCUAACUGAAGCCGAUCGAUGCUGGCUCUGGAUGAACAGUGAGCGCUGCGGGAGGGGGGGGUGGAUGAACAGUGAGCGGUGAGGGUGGAUGAAUAGGAUCCCAUGGCGUUGCCUCUGGAUGAACAGGACCCCGAUCGAUCGAGCCGGUUGGGGCUGGAUGAACAGGACCCCGUGGAGGGCUGGAUGAACAGGACGACCCCGUGGAGGGCUGGAUAAACAGUAGACGAUGGAGGGGUGGAUGAACAGUAGCCCGUGGAGGGAUGGUUGAACAGGAGCCCGUGAAGAGGGGUGGUUGAACAGUAGCCGGUGGAGUAGCGCGCGGUGGAGGCUGGAUGAACAGGAGCCCGUGGAUGAACAGUCGCAGGUGGAGGCUGAAGGAGGUCGACGGUGGAUGAACAGUAGCCCGUGGAGGCUGGAGGAGGUCGACGGUGGAGAUGAACAGUAUCCCGUGGAGUCCCGUUUUGCGGUACGCCACACCCCUCCCGAUGAACAGGACUCCCGUUUUGACCGUAGCGCUCCAACACAAGUCCGUUUCGUCCGUUUUGCGGUACACCGCACCCCUCCCGAUCAACAGGACCCCGUUUCAACCGUAGGAGGUCCAACACAAGUCCGUUUCCUCCGUUUUGCGGUACGCCAGACCCCUCCCGAUGAACAGGAUCCCGUUUCGAACGUGGCCGGUCAAACACAAGGCCGUUUCCACCAUUCUGCGUACGCCAGGCCUCGUUUCUAUCACUUGUUCCGUCCAAGCCCUCCUGAUGAACACGACGACGCAUUCCGUUCUGACCCAGCCGGUUGGCUCCCCAUGAACACGACGACGACGCAGUUUCUCCGUUCCGACCGAGCCAUGUACACGAGCCCUGACCGUACGUAUGUGCGAGUAGGCGUUCGAGACCCCGCCUGUAUGUACAUAUGUGGCCGUAUUUAAUUUCUUGCACCCUGGCCGUUGUACGUACGUGUGCAUGCUACGUGCGCGCCUCUACUAUGACACGUGCGCGCCUCUACAUCCAUCAGUAUGUACGUACACGUUUGCGACCAGAAUGACAACGCUACGUACGCUUUGACCAGGUGGGUCCCGACUGUCAGGCACUUCCUUGCGUGCGAAGAUGUAGCUGGUGGGUCCCAGCAGUCAAGGGAGCGAAUUGUUUUUUUGCCCGGACGCACUUCCUUGCGUGCGAAUAUGUAGCUGGUGGGUCCCAGCAGUCAGGGGGGAAACAUUUUUUCGCGAAAUACGGUGGCCUGUCGGUGGGUCCCUGCUGUCAGGUGGAGGAAUAAUUAUUUUGCGCGUAAUAAGGAGGCACUUCCUUGUGGCCGUCGUGGACCCAGCUGUCAGCCUCUCCACAUACAAUACUCUUCCGAUGGAAGUCGUUCCUUGACCACGUUGACCACGCCGCAUGAAGAGCACCAGGGCGGUGGACGACGGCGAGGCCUAGGAAGGGGACAACACAGAGCCGUGGAAGACGCGACAGUGGAAGCCCGCGUAGAGAGGAGUACGAGGGUUCACUGGUUCGGCUGCGGUGUGAGGCUGCCGUCGCCGUAGGGCCUGGCCACCAGUGGGAAUAGUAGGGGACGGUGAGGCCUCCGCGGCAGCAUAGCCAACCACGGGAGCCGGAGCAUGCGGCAAGACCGGCGCUGCUUUGGGCGGCUGGAGCAAGAAGACCAGAGGUUGAAGAAGCACUACGGCCAUUGGAUGGACAUCGUACGGUCACUGGAGCUAGAAUCGUUCAUAUUGACUUAGUUGACAAAGCCCUCCGUCCCCAUCAACUUACUACGCCCACAAGUCAGCCUCCCACCAAGGUGGGUCCCAGCUAGCAGGGGGAGUAUUCAUUUUUUUGUGCUUAAUGAGGAGGCACUUCUGGUGGUCCGAGCUGACAGCGGGGGGAAUGUUUUUUUUGCGAAAUAUGGUGGGUCCACAAGUCAGCCACCAAAUCUGCCGGGUCCCAGCUGUCAUCGACAGGAAUAGUUUUUUUUGCAUAACAAGGAGGCACUUCCUUCCGUGCGAAGAUACAGCCGGUGGGUCUGAGCUGUCAGGGGAAGGAAACAACUUAAUAAGGAGGAAAUUUCCUUGCGUGCGACCAUGGACCUCGUGGGUCCCAGCCAUCAGGCUCUCAUGUACAGUCCUCUUCCGAUGACUCUCGUUUGUUGACCACGCAGCGUUGAGCGCAGCGAGGCGGUGGACGACGACGAGGCCCUAGACUGGAACGACCCGGAGAUGGGGAAGACGCGGCAGUGGAGUCGCAGACGGAGAGGAGUGGGAAACUUGACUGGUUCAGGUGCGGGUGGGCCUACACUCGGCAGAGAAUAACAGGAGGUGUGGAGUGGAGGGAUGGCCUGGCCGUCGGUGGAGUAGCGUUUCGCUGCGAGGCACGCAAAACAAUGCCACUGGACACCGGAGGUUGGAGCAGGCGGUCCCGGCAGCAUUGGGGAAAGAAGACGAGAGAUUGAAGAAGAAUGCCGACCAUUGGAUGUAAAUCCAACGCCUUGCUUAGGCUUCGACCUACUGGCCCACAUGUCAGCCAGUCCAUUUGUUUUUUAGUCCAUUUGAUGGGCUGGGUGAAACAAUGAUGUAGCAUCUAUGCAGCCGUUUAUAUAUAUGGUAGAAUUUAAAUCUCAUUUGCAUUUUUCUUGAAAUCCGCAACUUGCUGGGCUGGGUGAAAAUAUCAUGUUGGGCUGGACGGAGAAAUGUUAUAAAAAUAGAAACACAUGAUUGCACGUCUAUUACUGCAUUGGUCAGUAAAAUCUUUGCAAGCUUAUGUACGCAACCACUAGGAGUUAACUUGCCAAAUUAUAUAUAAACAAUUAUUAUUAUUAUUUUAUAAGAACUUUCAGUUUAUGAAAUAAAAUAUCAUUUUAAUUUGAUGAGUUAAUAGAACGUGGGGUAUUAUUAUUUUUUAGGCUAGACGUGGGACAGUUGAGUUGGUUCUAGGGAAAUGUACUGAGAGAAAACUCAAUUUACAUCAAAAAGAAAGAGGAAGAAAAUUCAAAUAUAGGAUUAAUGAAAACAAAAAAUAAAGGAAGUGGGAAGGUCUAUAAAAUGGUUGGACGAACAACAAGUUUAAUGGAACCUUAUGUUACAUAUAUAUAUAUAUAUAUAAUAAAAUAAGAUAUAUUAUUAUUAUUAUUAUUAUUAUUAUUAUUAUUAUUGAAGGGAAAACAUAGGUUCAGUUUUGCAUUCUUAUAGAAAAAAAGAACUGAGUUGUGCGUCGUCUUGAAAAAACAAACAUAACUUGGGCUGCUGAUGUUAUAGACAAGCUAGGUUGGGAGGCCCAGAGGCCGCUAGAUCCAAAAAACGUUGAAACAUGUCAUGGGCUGCCCAUGUUAAAAAAAUGAGACCAAUCCAAGGGCUGAUCCUCGUUGGCAUUUUUUAUAGGAGAAACUCCGCGAGCACCACACGUCCAAGCCGGGACUUGAACUCGGGUGGGCUGGCAGCAACCUCAAGCUGCCCAGCCAACGGGUCGACGGCCCGUCCUCGUGGGCUGCCCAUGUUAAACAACAAAACCUAGGCCAUGGACCUGGUGGGCCCGGGACUGUUAGCUUCUCGACGAACAGUUGUUUCCCGAUUCCUCUUAUUUUGAUGACCAUGUUGGGAAUGACAGACAGCGGCGCCACUGCGACAACACCAAGGUGGAGGACGACGUCGAGACCGUGGACCGAACGAACCGGAGCGGGGGAAGACGCAGGCGAAGGGGAGUACGAGGGUUGACUUGUUCGGAUGCAGGGUGGCCAGUGGAGAUCCUUGGUAUCAUUGUCUUCUUUCAUGUUGGCGUAGCAGGGGUUGAUGAUGGUCUCGGCGAGGUCAACCACGGAGUCCUUCUCCUGCCCAUUCCCGAUGAUUUUGUAUUGCUUCUGGAUGUCGACAAGCUUGCUGCACCAGAUGACUGAGUCGUCGCGUUCUUCCUUCUCUCCACCAUAGCAAAGGUGCAGUCGGCGCUGCCAAUGAAAUGAACGAAUGCUCCAGAACCUCUGAUGGCCCUACAACAGUGGUAGACGAGAAUCUCGUCCCGCACGCAUACCCGGGCGACCACGAUCCACUGGUCCCUGUCAGGAGAUGAAUGGAUGGGCACAAGGUCUAGUCCUGCGACCUUGUGCUUUCUCGUCCUGUAGGUACUGCUUGAACUCGGCGAGGCAGAGCUUCACCGAGUCCGGAUCGUUCGUGUACAUCACAUUCAACUUGGUGCCGCCAUGGGACUGAACAGAGAACUCAAAGGUGAACUCCUUGCUGAAGUCCAUAUCCAGCAGGCUCACCCCUCGGAUCGGCAUUGGAGUAUCUUCAAGUGAACGAGUGAGUAGGCGACAACAGCAGUUAGUUUUUCAGCUCUUGGGGAACUGGAUUCAACAGUAAACUGAGUGUGUAUAGGCGACAACAGUUACGACCCCUCCCUCACCCACUGCACGCCCUACAGAAUUGUUGGGGUACGUAGUAAUUUCAAAAAAAUUCCUACGCACACGCAAGAUCAUGGUGAUGCAUAGCAACGAGAGGGGAGAGUGUUGUCCAUGUACCCUCAUAGACUGAAAGCGGAAGUGUUAUCACAACGCGGUUGAUGUAGUCGUACGUCUUCACGAUCCGACCGAUCCAAGUACCGAACGUACGGCACCUCCGAGUUCAGCACACGUUCAGCUCGAUGACGUCCCUCGAACUCCGAUCCAGCCGAGCUUUGAGGGAGCGUUCCGUUAGCACGACGGCGUGGUGACGAUGAUGAUGUUCUACCGACGCAGGGCUUCACCUAAGCACCACUACUCCUAGAUCACCAUUGUACCCCCUUGCCAAAUCAGGGCAUAGUAUACAAUAGGUCUGGUCCAUAGCAUGGCAUAUUUUUAUAGAACCUAUGACCGAGGCAUAAGGAAUGACUUUCAUUCUCUUUCUAUUUUCUGCCGUGGACGGGAUUUGAGUCUUACUCAAUUUAAUACCUUUGCAACACAGGCAAGAACUCUUUCUUUGAGUGUUCCAUUUUGAACUACUUCAAAAUCUUGUCAAGGUAUUUACUCAUUGAAAAUCUUAUCAAGCGUCUUGAUCUAUCUCAAUAGAUCUUGAUGCUCAAUAUGUAAGUAGCUUUACUGAGGUCUUUCUUUUAAAGAACUCCUUUCAAACACUUCUUUAUGCUUUCCAGAAAAAUUCUGCAUCAUUUCUGAUCAACAAUAUGUCACUUACAUAUACUUACCAGAAAGGUUGUAGUGCUCCCACUCACUUUAUUGUAAAUACAUGCUUCACUGCAAGUCCGUAUAAAACCAUAUGCUUUGAUCAACUCAUCAAAGCGUAUAUUCCAACUCCGAGAUGCUUGCACCAGUCCAUAGAUGGAUCACUGGAGCUUGCACAUUUUGUUAGCACCUUUAGGAUUGACAAGACCUUCUGGUUGCAUUAUAUACAACUCUUCUUUAAGAAAACCAUUAGGGAAUGCAGUUUUGACAUCCAUUUGCCAGAUUUCAUAAAAUGUGGCAAUUGCUAACAUGAUUCGGACAGACUUUAAGCAUCGCUACAGUUGAGAAAAUCUCAUUGUAGUCAACACCUUGAACUUGUCGAAAAAACCUUUUGCGACAAGUCGAGCUUUGUAGAUAGUAACACUACUAUCAGCGUCUGUCUUCCUCUUGAUGAUCCAUUUAUACAAUAUGGCUUGUCGAUCAUCGGGCAACUCCACCAAAGUCCACACUUUGUUCUCAUACAUGGAUCCCAUCUCAGAUUUCAUGGCCUUAAGCCAUUUCGCAGAAUCUGGGCUCAUCAUCGCUUCCUCAUAGUUCGUAGGUUUAUCAUGGUCUAGUAACAUGACUUCCAGAACAGGAUUACCGUACCACUCUGGUGCGGACUGUACUUUGGAAGACCUACGAGGUUCUGUAGUAACUUAAUCUAAAGUUUCAUGAUCAUCAUCAUUAGCUUCCUCACUAAUUGGUGUAGGAAUCACUGGAACCGAUUUCUGUGAUUAACUACUUUCCAAUUCGGGAGAAGGUGCAAGUGUUAGUGGUCAGUUUACUUAAAUUUAAUUAGCUAUAAUUAAAAUGUAUUCUUAAAACAAGCAAUGCAUUGGCUCGUUCUAUCAAUGCCACAAGAUCAACAUGCACAACAAUUAGAAUUAUUAUUCUCAGAACGCACAUGAUCAGCACAUUUGCCGCACUUUCACAUAGACAAUACUACCAAGUCUGAACAUUUUGUUAUGGUUGCUGUCCUCUGCAUUAUCAUGCCGUGUUUCCUAGCUUGCAAGAUUCAGAACCAACAAAUAAGAUUCAAAUAAUAAGUACAACAAAGAUGCAUGCCUACACAUCUCAUUGAUUCUCAGCUUUCAAGAUUCAGAACCAACAAAUAAGAUUCAAAUAAUAAGUACAACAAAUAUGCCUACAUAUCUCAUUGAUUCCCAGCUUGCAAGAUUAAGAACCAACCAAUUAGAGCCUUUUGAUAAAGUGAAUAUCGGGAUUAAAUCCAUCUUGGCUAGCCGUGUCAUACAACCCAAGAACUUGGCGAAUGCUCUUGACCAUCACAACAUCUUGUAGUAGAGUAUUGUUGUUUGCACAGAUAAGAAAGAGCAUGGGUUUAGGACUCUAGCAGCCGUAGAGAUGGUUGUACAAAAUUGGCCUUUUCUUUUGGCCACCAAUUCUAUCUAUGUUCCUGAUGCGUCAGUCUUUGACGCAUCCCUUGAAAUUACUAUAAUAGUGGCACUAGUUGAAGCAAACUUUAUUUUCAAAACGAGAAAAGAUUGUGAUAGAAUAGCUUUAUUUAAAAAAUACAACAUUGGCACAACAUGACAAAGCACAAUCAUGUUGAUAAAGGACAGUACUGACCGGUGUGAGGGGCCCUAUGCCGCCAUGACUCGAUCUGGUGAACGUGCAACUCCACUCGGAUGAGGUCAACCUCCAGCUCCAUGAUUCAAUUCAUGCGCCUUUUUCUGCAGUUCACCUGAAAUGAAGCAAAGAUUGCAUCAUUCAGCUAGCAAGAAGUACUUGCUCACGUGAGCUAGCAGGUUCUUCUUUAGUAGUUGCACUAAAAUUGAGCAACAUUAAGGUUGGCUAUCCUGCUCAUGUAAGGUGCAACUAUAAUUUGCUUAUCCUUUUGUGCAGUUCCACUAAAAUAAAGUGCCAUUGUGGUGACAGUGAUGACUCAUCUUGCAAAGGCUAAUAAAAUGUUGCACGAGAUUACCAACAGAAUUUGACAGAGAUUUUGGGAACUCCAGUCACCAUUUUGUGCAGUUCUACCAAAAUUGAGAGAUGUUGCCCACCUGACAUUUUUGUUGAACUGCACAAGACACUCAUUCCAAAAAAGUGUUUUGUGCAGUUCACCAAAAGGUCACAAUAGCAACAAGGUGAAAUUGAUAUCCCUAUCUGCACAAAAAGAUAGAAAGUAAACAAUUGCUGGUCAAUAAGAAUAUAUGAAACAUACACGAAAUGAAAAGAAGCAUCUUAAUUAUGUUCAUGGCAAUCACCAAGGAUGGUAGAGAUUUUAAAACGUCAGUAAUGCUUCAUGUUAUUGGAAGCAUUACGAUCAAGUAUGACAUUUGUCAAAUAUGGUAUUUCUUUAAUUGUGGCAUUGCUUGUUUACCAGAUACAAUAAAUCAACAGCAGCUAAAGAGUUGGUUUAAGGGCAUGGGACCAUGGGGACACCAGGUCACUCAACGGCGUAAAGAAGCAACUUACUUAUCAUACUUGGGAAAACAGCAGGAGUACCAUUUGUUAACACAAUUUAAUUGCAUCAUAUCACUAGAGGCAUUAGAUUAACAAUAACACUGGUUAGACAUGUCCUUAAGAUAACAGUGUGAUCGCUUCAUUUUACGCGCGCCCUUACAUUAACAACAGCAAAAGGUUGGUAUAAGGACAUGCGACAGUGGACGCAUCAGCAUAAAGUACCUACAAAGAGGCAUAAAGUGGUGAUGCCGAGUUUGUUCAUGCUCUGUGAGGGCAGCAAAUCUAAUCCUGGAGAACUUUUACUAUGUGAGGUCAGCAAAUCUAAUCCUAGAGACCUUUUACUAUGUGAGGGCAGCAAAUCUAAUCAUGAAGACCUUUUACUAUGCGAGGGCAACAAAUCUAAUCUUGGACAUACUCUGUUGACUUGUCCACUAGCCGCCACUUUCUGUCCAUUUUCAACCAAUAAUAGAUCUGUUCCUUAUCCAGUUUGUACUGAGUUUUCCCAUUAUUUCCCUUUUCAACCAAGAGACCGGUUGGGUACCCGGUCUCUACUACUUUCCCCUUGUUAUUUCCUCUUUGAAUCAAGUCCUAGAUUCAUGCUACGACCUUCCCCCCUUUCUUCGUUGUUUGAACCAAGUCCUAUAUUCGAAUGCAUGAAGUAGCUUUACCUCUAAUAAUACUAAAAAUUAGGUGGAUUUGGAAGAGUUGAUGGAAGUAGAAAAAUAUGCACAUGCAGACACGUUGGGAGCUGGGGCAGUAGAGCAAGGCCGCUUUUGAAGAACUUGUACCUGAGGUUCGUCGGGAUGUCGGCGGUGGCAUGUCCGAUCUGCGCACAAUAUGGCAGGGAGGAAGAAGGGUCAGAGGACCUCCCGAGUCGGCGAUGUGUCGGAGAGAACGACACGGGCAGAGGAUCGGGCCCCACCGGCAGUUGUGGGUUUCCUCCCUCGGCGGUGAUGACCGCGUAAACGAUGCACCUUUUAGUCCUCUACACACACACACCGGCCGAAGGGAUACGGCCGGAUCUGUGACCAGCGGUGAGCAGAGAGAAAAUGUCGCUACCGAUGUAUUGUUUAGAUCUGGAGAGGACGAGAGAGUGAAGAGAGCAACCCUAGUAAAGCAAGCGCUCAGGCCCCUGCGUACAUAUAUAGUGGAGUGAUUAUCUUUUUCUCUCCACAACAAGCGUUUCAAUUUCUGUACGUGGCAUUAAAGAAAGUAAACUCUCUAUUUAAGGUGACUACUGUACAACUCCUACUUACUACUAGUAGUACUAGUAUUGUUCACUUGUGCUCUCCGCCCCUCCAUUCAUUGAACAACCCCACGGGUGAAUAAACAUACAGUAAAUAUUUAUAUAGAAUGAACAAGCUCGAACUAUUUUUGUGUAGUUAAAAGUUGAGGGCGGGGCUUUUCCCGGGCAGUACGCGCGGCAGUUUUCGGGUAGGCGGGAGGCGAGGAGGGUGAGCGAGUGGCGGAUUCUCAAACAUACUGCUGGAAAGAUUGGGCUAUGCGAUUUGACGACGCGUUACUGCUGGAAAGACUUGUGAUAUGACCACUCACUAUAGUCAUGAACUAUUGACGCUCCGACCGGGGCGAUGCCCCCCUUCCGUUCCGCGCUCUAAUUUGGUGCAUGACACGUCGACCCGGAUGCUGGCUCUCCCACAUGUCGGCGAAGUACGUAGUAGUAAGAAGGAGCAAAGAAUGAUGCAGUAUAUACUACUACUACUAUUCAGGUUGGAGGAGUGCGAACCACGGCAGCUCAGUGAACCAACAGUGCGAACCACGGUAGCCCAGUGAACCAAUAGUAGAAAAUAAUGUGGUGAUAUGGGCAUAAAAAACAAUGUGCUACGGUCCACACUAUAACAUGUACAGUACCACUCCUAUUUGUUUGGAUCCCUGAGUUAGAGCUAGUUUGGGUUGAAAUAGCCUCAAAUUAUCGAAACACGAGGGGUUAGUUUGAGCUAGUUUGCUCUAACCCAGCUAAAAAAACUAGCCUGGUGGAGAGGUUCUAAUUGGGUUAGUUAUCCUCGGGCCCACUAAAAGAGAACUAAAAAAAUCUCCCCUGCCCGCACCAGAUCGCUCCCCCGCUCUCGCACGACUCCUCUCUAUUCCCCAUAGGGCCGCCCGCCCAAGCGCCGCUCGCCCUCUCUCCUCCGGCCGCCCUCUCCUUCCGGCCUCCGCCGCCCUACUCCGGCCUCCCUCUCCCUCCAGCCUUCAAAUGUCGCCCCGCUCCCCCUUCACCGGUCAUUUUUCUCCCUCUGUCAUGCGCGGCGGCAGCGCAUCUACCAGGGAGGUCGCGAGAGGGGUGAGUUUGUUUGUUCCUUCUCUGUCUCAUAGCCAUAUCAUUGAUCUUGCUCGCUCUAGCACUAGUUCUGAUUUGGAAAAGUAGAUCCUGAUAAAACUUGGUAUAGAUUUGUGGUGGACGCAUGGAAUUGUUUGAUGCCGCUUGAGGAGGUAAUAAAUCUUUCUAGAGGCCCAAGGAUUUAGUUCACCUUUCUAUGUAUUUUAGUUCAGGCUUGCAUUAUUUCUAGAGGCCCAAAGAUUCAGUUCACCUUUCUAGGUAUUUCAGUUUCAGGCUUGCAUUAUUUCUAGAGGCCCAAAGAUUCAGUUCACCUUUCUAGGUAUUUUAGUUUCAGGCUUGCAUUAUUUCUAGAGGCCCAAAGAUUAAUUUCCCAGUCGGCGGCAAGCGGCCCUGCUACCCAUGUCGGUGUCGACCUCAACUCGCAAGGGCUGGCGUCGGAGGGGUUCCCGGGGCUUGGGUGUUGGAAAUAUGCCCUAGAGGCAAUAAUAAAAGCAUUAUUAUUAUAUUUCCUUGUUCAUGAUAAUUGUCUUUAUUCAUGCUAUAAUUGUGUUAUCCGGAAAUCGUAAUGCAUGUGUGAAUAACAGACACCAACAUGUCCCUAGUGAGCCUCUAGUUGACUAGCUCGUUGAUCAACAGAUAGUCAUGGUUUCCUGACUAUGGACACUGGAUGUCAUUGAUAACGAGAUCACAUCAUUGGGAGAAUGAUGUGAUGGACGAGACCCAAUCCUAAACAUAGCACAAGAUCGUAUAGUUCGUUUGCUAGAGUUUUGCAAUGUCAAAGUAUCUUUUCCUUAGACCAUGAGAUCGUGUAACUCCCGGAUACCGUAGGAGUGCUUUGGGUAUGCCAAACGUCACAACGUAACUGGGUGACUAUAAAGGUAGACUACGGGUAUCUCCGAAAGUGUCUGUUGGGUGACAUGGAUCAAGACUGGGAUUUGUCACUCCGUAUGACGGAGAGGUAUCACUGGGCCCACUCGGUAAUGCAUCAUCAUAAUGAGCUCAGAGUGACCAAGUGUCUGGUCACGGGAUCAUGCAUUACGGUACGAGUAAAGUGACUUGCCGGUAACGAGAUUGAACGAGGUAUUGGGAUACCGACGAUCGAAUCUCGGGCAAGUAACAUAUCGAUAGACAAAGGGAAUAGCGUACGGGGUUGAUUGAAUCCUCGACAUCGUGGUUCAUCCGAUGAGAUCAUCGUGGAGCAUGUGGGAGCCAACAUGGGUAUCCAGAUCCCGCUGUUGGUUAUUGACCAGAGAGUCGUCUCGGUCAUGUCUGCUUGUCUCCCGAACCCGUAGGGUCUACACACUUAAGGUUCGGUUACGCUAGGGUUGUAGGGAUAUGUAUAUGCAGUAACCCGAAUGUUGUUCGGAGUCCCGGAUGAGAUCCCGGACGUCACGAGGAGUUCCGGAAUGGUCCGGAGGUAAAGAUUUAUAUAUGGGAAGUCCUGUUUUGGGCAUCGGGACAAGUUUCGGGGUUAUCGGUAUUGUACCGGGACCACCGGAAGGGUCCCGGGGGUCCACCGGGUGGGUCCACCUGCCCCGGGGGGCCACAUGGGCUGUAAGGGGGUGUGCCUUGGCCUAAUGGGCCAAGGGCACCAGCCCCACAUAGGCCCAUGCGCCUAGGGUUUAAGGGGACAAGAGUCCUAGGAGGGUAAGGCACCUCCUAGGUGCCUUGGGGGGGAGGGAAACCUCCCCUUGGCCGCCGGCCAUAGGAGAUUGGAUCUCCUAGGCUGCGCACCACCCCCCCUUGGCACCCCUAUAUAUAGUGGGGGAGAGGAGGGACUUCAUACCUGAACGCCCUGGCCUUUGGUUGCCUCCUUCUCCCUCCCCAACACCUCCUACACCUCCGUAGUGCUUAGCGAAGCUCUGCCGGAGUACUGCAGCUCCAUCAACACCACGCCGUCGUGCUGCUGCUGGUGCCAUCUCCCUCAACCUCUCCUCCCUUCCUUGCUGGAUCAAGAAGGAGGAGACGUGGCUGUUCCGUACGUGUGUUGAACGCGGAGGUGCCGUCCGUUCGGCGCUGGUCAUCGGUGAUUUGGAUCACGUCGAGUACGACUACAUCAUCACCGUUCUUUUGAACGCUUCCGUGCGCGAUCUACAAAGGUAUGUAGAUGCAUCUGAUCACUCGUUGCUAGAUGAACUCCUAGAUGAUCUUGGUGAAACGAGUAGGAAAAUUUUUGUUUUCUGCAACGUUCCCCAACAUUGGGCUCUACAGAGCCUUCCUUCAGAGCGACGAUGGCGAGCUCCUCCCUCGGUGCGUGAGGGGCUCCGAGCUCCCUCCCUAUCGUGAAUGACUUCCGUGAUGAGUUAGCUCAUGCUUUGUUUCAUGGAGUGUUUUUUUGUGAAGCUUGAUUGACGACUUGUAUGUUUAAGUGGGACAUCUCAUUUGUAUGGACAAAGUAAAAAUUAUCAUGUUUUGCAUGCUUGAUUUGUAAAGAUGGUUCAUUUAUGUCAAUUGUAAGCGGGAGGAGGCCACAGAAGAGCCGGCCACACCAAAUCUGACAGGAAAUAGGGUCCAAAGUAGUCAAAUGAUUGAGAAAGAGCAUUUAUUGUCAAUCUAACCCUGCCAUCCAUACACCUCUUUGGUUUAGAGUUAGUUCAGGGUUAGAAUCUAACUCUAACCUCUAACUGAGUUAGAGUUCUCCUCGUCUCGGUUCAUCGCCAUCAUACUUUCCCCAUUCCCGUGUUUUCAGUUUCCUGCGAAUCGAAGAGGCCCUUUUUUGCGGGAAAAUCAAAGAGGCCCUUAGACUGGUUUAGGUCUGGUCAUUUUUUAUAAACGUGUUAUGUCCAAAAUUUAAUGAACGUGCUCCAGUUUCUAUGAAAAUAAUCCGGCUUCAUGUAGUAAUUCAUUCAUUCAUUUAUUCUUCUGCGGGGGGUUUGCAUGUAAUUCGUGAGGUCUGGAAUGUAAAGUACCCCGGCAUAUGCUCCGGGUCGUGCAUGCACUACGACCCAGAUGCUCUAUGUCCCACAUGUCGGCGAAUGGGGGCACGUGGAAAUAGCCUAGGAGUACAUAUAGGAGGAUAAAUGCGUGAAAAAAUUUGUAUUGUGAAGCGUAGCUGCGGUUCGAAAAGGAGACCUAAAGUGAUGACAACUAUAGGUCGCUUGCACCCAACUAGUGGUACUAGACAUACGACUAAUUUUCCCUAAAAAAAAAGAGGCACGAGUGCUCAGUACUCCUAUUUUAUCAACACGAGUCCCAUCUAACAACAACGUCUGUGCUACAGCUAGCUCUCCUCGCUCGUUUCUCUCUUCUCAUUCUAAACUCGUCCGACGCCUGGUGGGUGGGGUGGGUUUGCUCAACUACACCUCACAGUGAAAAUGUUACGACUAGAAUAAAAAUGCCAUAUCCUCCCUCCGUUCCUAAAUAUAAGCCUUUUUAGAUACUAUUUCAAAUGGAAUACAACAUACAGAUGUAUGUAGACAUAGUUUAGAGUGUAGAUUCACUCAUUUUGCUCCGUAUGUAGUAGUCACUUGCUGGAAUCUUUAGAAAGACUUAUAUUUGGGAAUGGAGGGAGUACUAUACUAAUAAAACAUCAAGGCCACGAGGCGAUGCAGUGCUGGUUACAGGAGGCAAGAAGAAGAGAUACAUCCAUCAACGACGUCCACCUCCUCGACUUAGGGCGUCGGCCCACCGAACGACGCCUAAGUAGCAGCGACUUUCGUGGCCAGUUCGACGUGCUUCUGAACAAUGGCGUCCAAAGAUUCCAGCCGCUGGAAGAAGGCCAACGUCUUUCUGUCCUCGCUUGCCUUGUAGUGGCCUAUGUAGGUGAUUUCCUCGUAGACAUGGAUGUGCAGGUCGACGGUUUCUUGCAUGGCGAUGCGCUGUGCGGCGAGCGCGGCCUUGAGGUGCACAUUCUUUGUCGCGACCUAUGGCACCUGCAGGGCCACCAGGGUUUGAAAGAGUUCAUCACCAUGGAGGCUGAUGAGGGUGGCAGGCAAUGAGGAGCUUGGGCGCGUGGGCUGGAGCAGUACGGCAAGGUCGUCCAUGCGCUUCUUGACGGUGGUGAACUUGCGGAUGAAGUCACCAGCACCGUCUGGAAACACUACUCGGUGCGGGGCCGCAGGCCGGCGCCUUGGAUGAUUUGGCACAACCGACUGCCGCUCGCGUCCAUCGCCUCCAUAGGUGCUUGUGGCUUCUGGUCACUUGGUCUUGGAUUGGAGUGAGAAGUGUUGCGCAUAGACUUGGGAGUAGAUGGAUUGGAGUGGUAGGGUGCCUUUAUAUGAGAGUCCAAACUCUAUUGCAUUCACAUCGUGCUGGCUCUAUUCUGCUUCUCCAAUUAAUUUCCUCUGCAUGUAACUGAGGAUGCAUCAUUGACCGUUCAACGUCUCGGGAACCGCUACCCUCUCCCUCCUUGGCAUUCAAGCACCUAUGGAGGCGACUACCACUCGUGUCUAUCGCAUGUCAGGAGACGUUCCCGUCGACGCCGAGGUGCCUAUGGUGACUUCAUAAAUUUCAAGAUGAUAGUGUCGUGCGUGUGUGCGUUCAUAGGGGUGAGUGUAUGCGUGUGUAUAUGAGCGCUUGCGUCUGUACCGUGUCAAAUAAAACGUAAAUGCAUGUCAAAAAGAGACUAGUCAGUAUGCUCAAUAUUGUGCACCUCGAAAAGGAAAACGAUAGAACUACGUAUUUAUUUACGGUGAAGAUUCACUCAUUUUGCUCCAUAUGUACUGCGUCUCGGUGUAGUCUAGUCACUUGUUGAAAUCUCUAGAAAGGCAAAUACUCCUUUCUGGUCUAUACUAGCAAGUAGUAGUAUGUACUAGUACAAUAGUGGGCUCACAUAGCAAAUUUGUCUCAUGCAAGAGCCUGGCUAUAUGUGUGCUCCAAUGUUCACAACUGCCACGUUCGGGUUGCUCUUGGCUCUUUGCCUCUUUGAGAAGACGAACAAUGAUGUUACUACUACUGCUUCUAUAGUGUCGAAUCCACUGCUGCAUAUCCAUCCACCGCGAGCGGGAGGGAUAGCUUGUUGUAGUAGUACUAUAAGCAAAAGCCUAUCCUCGUUUGUGAGCAACCGCGCGCAUGGGCGAGGGAGAAGGCGUGUAGUAGUAAAAUCAAGCUUCUCCUCAUUGUACGAGUUGACACGACACAUCAUAGCACUGGCCCCACAUGCUUGCCUCUAAACUUGGCUAAAAGACCCGUAGUGUAGAAUAUAUUUGCUGCAACCUCUAACAUUUACCCACCAUAAAUUAAAAUAUAUAUUCCUGUCUUGACCAGAUGAGCGUGCAAACUACAAUCACCAGGGUGACAGGUAGGGCCAGAAGACUAUUUUAAUUUUUUUUUAAACUUCGAGACGGCCACAUAGCAUGGAGCCGACCCCAACAGUUUUAAGCUUAUAGGCACGUCACACACUAUCCUAGACUAGUCUACACAUGAAACUGCCACACGAGCGUCCGGGCUGCGCUUGGCUCUUCGCCUCUUCGGGAAGUCAAACAAUGAUGGAGUACUAUUGCACUGCAGGAGUACUACAGUACGCUUCUAGCCAUCUGACACCGAUUGAACUGCUGCAUGUCCACCGCGUGCGGGAGGGAGAGCGUGUAGCGAAAGCUUUUCCUAGUCAUGCCAGCCACCACGCUCAUGGACGAGGGAGGGAUGCUCCUGCUUUUGCGUGUAUGAUAGGUGGGCCCGACAGGUGGGUGGCCAACCAGUCAUACAGCCAAAGGCAGGUGCAGUUAAGUCCGUGAGGGAGAGGAUAAUCAAACUUCUCGUUGAUGUACAAUUUGACGUGACACAUCAAAGCACUGCACUCGAUAUAUUUCAAUAAUUUGUUUUUACCGAUGCAUUAAUUACAAUGCAUGCAUGCAUGCCGUGACUCUCCUUUUGAUACUUGCAUGUGUUGAUUUAAUGCACCUUGAAGUAGUAUAAAAUAUGUGACGGUAAAGCUUUGUAAUGCUCCGGCCCAAGCGAGAGAUGGUUGUGCACGAGGAGGGUGAGAUCAUGCAGACGGAAUAGGACCCGAUGAUGGAGCUCUCUAAGGUCUCGUUGGACCUCACCGUGCUCCACUGCCCCUUGUGCCUCCACCCCUUGACGCCUCCAGUGUAUGAGGUUCGAAUACACCCCGUCUGUUCGGCUGAUUGAGCAAGGUGGAUGUUUCUUGAUUGAUGUGCUGUUCGAUUGAUUUCUGAAGUGCAAGGGAGGGCACCUGGCCUGCGCGGAAUGCCGCGUCGAGAGCCCCGGGAGCCAGCAGCAGUGCCAGAAGUGCGAGCACGGCAGUGGCUUCUACGUGCAGAACACGGUGGUGGAUGCCGUCCUUUCGUCAGUGAGGGUGGAGUACCCGCACGAAGGCUGUGGGCUCUACGUCACUUACCACGAGCUUGCUGAUCACCAGAGCGUGUGUCCGCUUGUGCCCUGCAAAUGCCCCGUGCCCGUCUGCGCCUACGAAGGCCCGCCGCCGGUGCUCUACCACCACAUCAGCAUCGUGCAUCCCAUGCCCGUGCACAGGAUCCAGUACGGCAAGGUGCUCCAGCUGCAAGUGCCACUGUCGGAGCCACGGCUCUUGCUAUUUGCGGAGGAGGACAGCCGCACGUUUUUCUUGGUCGGCAACGUGCUCGACAUCGGUGCGCCUAUCGCCAGGUCGGUCGUCUGCAUCAAAGCGGGGGCGUCCUUACUGCUGCACUACGUGGCCAAGCUGUGGGCGAACGGCCGCUAGGGGAGCCCAAAGGCACGACCGACACUGUCAAGGUGGAAAGGAAGGUGACAAGCAGCAAGGAUCCCGGCGACGUCACCGUGCAGGAGCUGACCUUCUUCACAGUUCUGCCCAAGCUGCUGGCCGGGGCUAAGCUGGUGUCCCUCCACAUUCAGAUUGACAAGCUCACGUCCUAAAUGUUUCUACAAUGCCUUCUGUUCAUCUUUGUAAUAUGCUAAUAUAGGGAUUACCUCGGUCUACUUUAGCUUAAGAAAUGGUGGGUUUUGGUGGCGAUGCAGCAAUUACUACGACAUCAUAUCAGUAAUUUCCAACAGUCGAACAAAUAUUUUGUGUCUGUUGGAUAUAAAGUUCCUUUGGGUAAGAAGUACUACUUGUCAUCAAAAUGAAUAAAAGGAGAUGUAUGUAGACGUAUUUCAGUUCUAGAUACGUCCCUUUUUAUCCAUUUUGAUGACAAGCACUCCCUCCGUUCCACAAUACAUGCCUUCCAUUUGUCAAAAUAUAGAUGUAUCUAGACAUGUUUUAGUAUAUAGGUACAUCCAUUUUUGGACAAAUGGAGGUCAAGUAGAGUAGUAUUUUGGAACGAAGGGAGUAUAUGCUUGUUUGUUCAUGAAGUGUUUCAUACUUGUGCGAGUUGACGCGACACAUCAUAGUAGUACUACAACUAGUAGUACUCCCUCCGACCCUAAUUUCUCUGCACAUAAGUCGAGGCAUAGAUACUACCAAGCAGGGCCUGGUUGUGUUGGACAACUCACCGGACUGUGCACCAGGCAGACGAAGCUUGUGUCGUGUUGUGUUGGUGCCGUGUGCGGCCCGCACAUUAACCAAAACCUCGCGCCUCCAGCUUAGCCUCCAUGUUUUAAACUUCUCAAUCUCAAGGCCAAGGAGCAACAUGAAUCCUAUGAUAGAGCCAAUCGGAUGAUUGAGAACACUACAAUUCAUAGCUAUAGAUGCGUGUAUGACUCCCAGAUGCAGAGGCCGGGGGUCAUCAUCCUCCUUUUCGAGAAAAAGCAGAUGCGUGUGUGAGAGGACGAGUGCGUGCAUGCACCUCUUCUCUUCCUGUAUAACGUACUAAACUCAGAGUACAAGUUUUUGUGGGUGGCACGAUGGUGCAUGCGAGAAGUUCCAAGAGUUAGGUUUAAUGCGUCUGAAAAAAAGACUAGCCUAUAGCUCGCCACGCGGCUAUUCCUGUUGAACACCCCAUUAACCGGAAGAUAUGUAUACGACGGUGCCAGUUAUUGCACGUACACAGCAGUAGAAAAAGAACUACCAUGGCAUAUGCUACACCACGGUCGAGAACACGUGCCCACGUAACGCCAUCCGAGAAUAGUGCCGCACUUCGAAACUAGAACCUUCAACAAAUUUUGAGCUUGCGUCUCGUCACAUUCCAAAUUACUACUACUACCACACUAUAUUGAAUUGCAAAGCUGUUCACACCGAUCACAACCUAAACGGUUUCCCACUUAGGGGUGUAUUAGUACUUGGUUAUAAAUACUACUAUGCCAAGAUGACUGCACAUUCCUCCUCAACUCCUCAUCCACAAAAACAAACAAGUCAUUCAGCAUCCUUCCCUUGCGUCUGCCAUGGCCAGCAUGAGUUCUGGGUCGAGAGAUUGCCACCAGGGAGAGGCGAGCAUGGAAGCGGAAGCACGAGAGAUGUCCCGACUCGCUGCGAAAGCAGCCGACAUGUCCCGCCGCAUGAAAGUAGCAGCACAGAGGUCGUGCCGCGCCGCUGAAGCAACACAGAGGUCCCGCCGCGCCGUCGAUGCAGUAGACUGGUCCGGUGGCACCAUGGAAGCAGCAAAGAUGUCCCGCCGCGCUGUGAAUGCAAUAGAGAUGUCCGGUCGUGCCGCGGUGGCCUGGGAAAAUGUCUCGCGGGUAGGCGACGACUCUUACAGGCGCAUGCAUGCGAUCGUCCAUAGCCAGAUGGAUCAGAUCUCCGGCUGGGCGAGGUUGCAGGACGACAUGAAAGCCUCAUUUGAACAGGCUACCACCGUCAUCCGACAACUAAGGGAGGGCAAUGAGAGGCUCCGGGCCGAGCGUGACCUGCUGAGGGCGAAGAUCGUCUGAAGUGCAGACCAGUAGGAGGAGACCGGUGCCUUGUUGAAGAGGACCAGCGUCAUCGUCAAGAAACUUAUGGACGAGAAUGACAUGCUCCGCAUCGAGCGCCAAUGGCUGGUGGAGGAAUCCGUGGAUGUUCUCAAGCAGCGUCUUGAGGACACGAAAGAGCUCAUCACCGCUCGCCGCGGAUACUAGUUCCCGCGGCCUGCAGCAAAGCAUCAAGAAAGUAGAGACCAGCGAGCCAGAUCCUUGUCUUCCUUCUUAUUUUGCCCUUGUGUAUUUCGGGGGUAGCCACAUGUGGCUUUUUAAAUUAUCUUUCUAAUUAUGUAAGACAAUUAAUCGUCCUUAUAUAUUCAUCAGUCUUGCUAUAAGUCGCAGUAGAUGCUAUAUAGGUCUGUCGGAUCUUACAUCAAGAUCUGUGCUUUCAGAUUUUAUCUUUUCUCUCUUAAAUCUCAGUCGAGAGAGACAUAGCCACGCCAUUAAAUAGAGGCUGAGGCGCCAUUAAGGGAGACCUUGGGAGAGAGGUGGACGGCAGAUGGAGGUCAAAGGGCUCUCCUCCCAAUAAGCACGCGCAGGGGUCUGAUCAGACGCCACUCGUACUCAAAUAGCUACCCUGCACGACGCCUCCUAGCUAAUAAAAAAAGGGGAUGCAUGGCGGCACGUAAAUGGUAGUAAAUAGAACGUCCAAGGUUUCAAUAAUACUUGUGUUUCCGAUUGUAACGUGACAACACUUGUUCCAAAAUGACUUUGUUGAUUGUUAAUGUGUGCGCCUUCGCAAAUCAGACUGCAAAAUUACCACAACAUGUUGGUGCCAUGUCUUGGCACUAAGCCAAGCUUCAUUAUUUAAAUGCGUGUUCUGAAUUUACAUGAAUUAAAAAACUAAGUUUCUCAAUGUUUCCAGCCCAGCCACGACGCCUAGAAUUUUGAAUUUCAUUCCCAUUUCUUGCAUGGAACCUAGAAAUUUACCCGAGGACACACAUGUGAUUUUUCAACCAACUUUGGUGCACUGGAGCAUGUGCUUGUAUUUCAAAUUUGAAUUAUGCACACAAAGGUGACACGUUCCCUCUCAGAACCACGAGCCUUCUUGAGAGAAGCUCUGAUUUGCAAGGAGCUUAUACCAAAAUUUGUUCCUAUUCGGCCAAUUUUUUUUACCACGGCUUGGUACUACCAUGACAUGACACCAUGCCAAGUUUCAUGAUUUUAAAACCAAGUUUCUCAAUGUUCUCGACCGAGCCACGAUGCCUAGAUGUUUGAAUUUUAUUCUCAUUUUUUGCAUGGGACCUACAAAUUCACCCGGGGACACGGAUGUGGUUUUGCAACCAACUUUGGUGCACGGGAGCAUGUGCUUGCAGUUCAAAUUUGAAUUAUGCACAUUAAAUGACCAAAAACUCAAUUAAUGUGUAAAAAAGGCCAAACGAACCCGGAAUAAUUCCAAAAUUUAACAGGGCACUCAUGUAGUUCUAUGUUGCCUUUGUAAAUAAACUCAAGGGGGGCAGCGUAUAUCGUUUCGCACUCAAAGGUGGCACAUUCCCUCUCACAACCACGAGCCUUCUUGAGAGAAGCUUAGGUUUGCAAGAAGCUUAUACCAAAAUAUGUUCCUAUUCGGCCAAUUUUUUUACCACAACAUGGUAGUACCAUGACAUGACACCAUGCCAAGUUUCAUGAUUUUCAGACGUGUUUUGUAUUUACAAGAAUUUUAAAACCAAGUUUCUCAAUGUUCUCGGCCGACCCACGAUGCCCAGAUGUUUGAAUUUUAUUCUCAUUUCUUGCAUGGGGCCUAGAAAUUCACCUGAGGACACAGAUGUGAUUUUUUAACCAACUUAGGUGCACGAGAGCAUGUGCUUGUAGUUCAAAUUUGACUAAUGCACAUUAAAUGAUCAUAAACUCAAUUAAUGUAUAAAAAAUGACAAAUGAACCCGGAAUAAUUCCAAAAUUUAACAGGGCAUUCAUGUAGUUCUAUGUUGCCUUUGUUAAGAAAGUCAAGGGGGGCAGCGUAUAUCGUUCCACACUCAAAGGUGGCACGUUCCCUCUUAGAACCACGAGCUUCCAAAUUGGCCCAAUUUUUUUACCACAAUAUGUUAGUGCCAUGACAUGACACCAUGCCAAGUUUCAUGAUUUCUGGGCGAGUUUUGGAUUUACAUGAAUUUAAAAUCUAAGUUUCUCGAUGUUCUCGGCCGAGUCUCAAUGCCCAGAUGUUUGACUUUCAUUCUCAUUUCUUUCAUGGGACCUAGAAAUUCAACCAAGGACACACAUGUGAUUUUUCAACCAACUUUGGUGCACCGGAGCAUGUGCAUGCAGUUCAUAUUUAGAUUAUGCACAUUAAAAGUCCAGAGACUCAAUUAAUGUAUAAAAAGGCCAAAUGAACCCAAAAUAAUUCCAAAAUUUAACAGGGCACUCAUAUAGUUCUAUGGUGCCUCUGGAAAGAAAAUCAAGGGGGAGGCAGCGUAUAUCGUUUCACACACAUAGGUGACACAUUCCCUCUCGGAACCACAAGGCUUGUUGAGAGAAUCUCCGAUUUUGCAAGAAGCUUAUACCAAAACUUGUCCCAAUUCAACCAAAAAUUAUACAUAUGAAAAUAGGGUUUAAAUUAUCCCGAACAUGUCGCUACCUAGACCAAUAAUGUACUAUGAUUUGACUUCAACAUAAAAUGGAUACACAUAUUUGAAUUGGAGAUCGUAUGGUACAUGUAGUUCAUAGUGAAAUAUGAUUACUGUUAGCGUUCUGGGAACGGGGGUCCCCAGACUUGCCUGCCUGCGGCCUGCGGCGUGGCUCAAGCAGUGGCCCAGUAUGGCCCAUCUUCAUCAACCCAAGUUCAAGACCCUCACGAGGGGCCAAGCCUCGCGGGGCGGACGACACAAGGCUUCCUCAGGGGCGGCCUCACCAGGCAGGCUCGCGAGGAGGCAGAUAGAUCAAGGCAAGGAGUACCUCGCAAGGUGCUCAUGACGCAAGCCAUGACGAUCAAGACCAGGCGGGCGCCAGCCAGCGCAGUGUCCUCAUUUCCUAUUUGGUGCAAAGGGGGAAAGCGCAGGCGCGGAGUACCGAGGCAUCAAGCAAAGGUUUCCAUAUCGGUGCAACGAGACCAAGACCAGCAGAGCGGCAGGACAGAGAUCACCAUGGAGCCCAAGGCGGCGUCAUCGCCAGUGCCUUUGGCAGUCGAAGACCAACUUUAGUCAGGAUAGCUUGUACUAGCUGCCCCUUCAAAAUGGCCAUUGUUGUCUCCCUUCCCGCUUAAUAUUUGGGAAGAGGACCAGGGCCUCUAUAUAUAGAGAUAGCCACCAUAGUAGAGGGGAUGGAAUCCUUCCCUAGUAGAACACCGCACCAGCUCAAGAACACCCCUCGCGAGGUUGUUCUUCCUUUGUACUGUUCAUCAUCGGCCCAAGAGGCAAUCCACCACACCACACACUGGAUUAGGGUAUUACACCACAACGGUGGCCCGAACCAGUAUAAAUCUCGUGUCCCUUGUGUUGUUCAUCGUGCUAGCUUAGAUUCGCGGCGAGGUUUUGGGGCGUGGAUCGGUUGGGAGAAGAUCUUCGUGCGCACCCCAGAGUUCGAACCUUAAGGGUUUUGCCGGAACCCUAUAUCCGACAUUUGGCGCGCCAGGUAGGGGUGCACCGGAGCUCUCCCUUCUGUCGACCUGCUCUCCAUCAACACCGCGCUUCGCCCUCAUGGCGAACAACGCGCCGCCGGCUCCGGUGGACGAUGCCAGCGCUAGGGCCAGGGGGCUCCGAGCCUUGGCCCCCGCCUUGCGACAGGUGCAGUGGAAACACAAGUUCAAGCCAGAGAUGCCGCCGUGCUACAACGGCGCGACAGAUCCGCUGGUUUUCCUGCUGGCGUACGAGGAGGCCGUCCUCAAGGCCGAGGGUGACGACAAGGUCAUGGCCAACUCGUUUCCCAUGGCCCUCACCGGUGUCCCACGCGUGUGGCUGAUCCACCUGCCAACAGCUUCUGUGGCCUCCUGGGAGGAGCUGCGCAACCUCUUCCUCACCCAUUACACUGCGCCGACGCCCCCGAUCGUCGCAGCUCUCCUGGGCGGCUCGCAGGCGCCACCCUUGGGCCGCCAUGUCAAGUCGUUCGUUCGCCAGAUUGGCGCCGCCCUCACACGACAUGGAGCUCCUCCGGGUUGGGCGGCACCCAAGGCCGACCUGACCUUCAGCUCGGACGAUCACCCCGUCAACACCGUCUACUCGGGUGCGCUCCGAAUGCUUUGCAUGCCCACUAUCUGCUAGGUGGCCGUCACCAGGACCCUCAUCGAUGGCGGUGUCGGCCUCAACGUGCUCUCGGUGGAGGCCUUCAGCCUCCUCCAUGUACCACUGGAACGGCUCCAACCCAGCAAGCCCUUCUCGGGUGUCGGAGGCAGUUCCUCCAGCUCCCUGGGGCAAAUCCGCCUCCCUGUGACCUUCGGCACCCACAACAACUUCCGCACAGAGCUGGUCAACUUCGACAUCGCCCACAUCGGCCUCUCGUACAACGCCAUCCUCGGCUACCCCGCCUUGGCCCAAUUCAUGGCAGCGACCCAUCCGGCCUACAACCUCAUGAAGAUGCCCGGGAGCAGUGGCAUCCUCACCCUAGCUGGAGAUACCAAAGAUGCUCUGCUGGCGCUCAAGCUUGCCCUCAAGACAGCUCCAAUAGCACAACCCGCCGGCACCGACAACUCCAAGACCAAGGGGGCUGCAUCAACCAAGAAGAAGCAACUGUUCACCCAGGACAAGGCGGAGACCAAGCAGGUACCAGUUGAUGAGGAUGGAUCCUCCGAUGCCACCUUCACCAUAGGUGCCAAUCUCGACCCCGGCCAGGAGGAGGCACUGGUGAAAUUCCUGCGCUCGAACAAGGAGGUGUUCACGUGGGAACCCAAACAACUAGCAGGGGUCCCAAGGCAGGUGAUUGAGCAUCACCUGAAUGUGUGCCCUAAUGUACACCCUGUGAAGCAGAAAGCCAGGCGGCAGUCCACCGAGAAGCAGGCCUUCAUCAUCCAAGAAACCUGCAAGCUAGAGGCGACAAGUGUUAUUCGCGAGGUUCGCUACCCCGAAUGGCUGGCAAACCCUGUUGUUGUGCCGAAAAAGGGAGGAAAGGAGCGCAUGUGCGUCGACUUCACCAACCUCAACAAGGCCUUCCCUCAAGAUCUAUUCUGACUCCCUCGCAUCGACGAAAUUGUUGACUCCACCGCUGAGUGUGACCUGCUGUGCUUCCCGGAUGCAUUUUUGGGCUAUCGUCAAAUCAAGAUGGCGAUAGAAGACAUGGAGAGGACGGCCUUCCUGACCCCAUGCAGGGUGUACUGCUACACCUGCAUGCCGUUCGGGUUGCGCAACGCGGGCGCAACCUUCGAGCGACUGACGCACAUCGCCUUGGGCCGGCAGCUCAGGAGAAACGCCGAGGCCUACGCCGACGACAUUGUGGUGAAGUCUCGGGAGGCGAAGACCUUGAUCCAGGACCUAGAAGAAACCUUCGCGAGCCUGCAUGAAGUGGACAUGCGGCUCAACCCGGAGAAGUGCGUGUUUGGCGUUCCUUCUGGCAAGCUGCUGGGCUUUCUCUUGUCCCACAGAGGAAUCGAGGCCAACCCAGAGAAGGUCAAGGCAAUCGAAGACACGAAUCUGUCGCAAACCCUCAGAGAAAUGCAGAAGCUCGCUAGGCGCGUAACCGCGUUAGGACGCUUCAUAUCCAAGCUGGGGGAGCGUGCCUUGCCUUUCUUCAAGCUGAUGAAGAAGACAGGCCCAUUCGAAUGGACACGGGAGGACGACAAAGUGUUUCAAGACCUCAAGAAAUACCUGACCAGCCCUCCUGUGAUGGUGGCACCGCACCCUCUCGAGCCCCUGGUGCUCUACGUCGCCGCCACACCCUACUCCGCCAGUGCAGCUCUGGUGGAGGUUCGGGAAGAGCUCCAGGUCAAGGCUGCAUCAGGACUGGCCCCGGCCCCGGCCGCGGCAGCACAAGACCAGGAAGGCCUCGCGAAGACCAUGGCCUCGGCAGAUGGAGACCAGCCUCAACAGGAAGACACCCCCAGGGCUGAAGGGGCCUCACCAGGCAGCCAGGUGCUAGGGGCUCCGACGUCUCAGGAGGCGCCUAACCCUUCGGAGGGCAUGUGCCUCGUUAGCACACCCACCCUCGUCAAGCAUCCGGUGUACUUUGUUAGCACGGUGAUGAGGGAUGCUAGGGCACGAUACCCCAUGCCUCAGAAGCUCUUGCUUGCACUGCUGGUGGCCUCGCGUAAGUUGCGGCAUUACAUUCAAGGUCACCCCAUCAAGGUCAUCUCGGCCUACCCAUUGGAAAGGGUACUCAUGAGCCCCAAUUCUGCUGGAAGGGUCGCCGAAUGGAACAUUGAGCUGCAAGCAUUUCAGUUGGAAUUCAGCACAACCAGGGUCGUCAAGGGAGCCGCACUUGCAGAUUUUGUGGCAGAAUGGACAGAGGCGCCAGGGCUCAAAGCAGGUGAAGAUCAACCACUUUCCCUAGGAAGCGGGGCACUAGACGGCUGGGUCAUGUACUUCGAUGGAGCAUUCUCGCGAUAUGGCGCGGGGGCUGGCGCAGUGCUUAUAUCCCCCACUCAGGACAAGCUCUAUUACGCCGUGCAGCUCUGUUUCCAGCAUGGCGAGAAGGUCUCCAACAACAUAGCAGAAUAUGAGGGCCCCAUAGCGGGCUUAAAAGCUGCAACAGCACUGGGGGUGAAGCACCUCAUCAUCAAGGGUGACUCACAACUCCUCGUCAACUUCUCCAACAAAGUGUACGAGCCAAAGGACGAGCACAUGGAGGCGUAUCUUGCGGAGGUGCGCAGGAUGGAAAAGCAAUUUUGGGGGUUGGAGUUGCAGCAUGUGCCCCGCGGCACCAACCAAAAGGCUGAUGACAUCACCGGAAGGGCAUCCAGGCGGCUGCCUCAGGAGCCUGGCGUUUUCGAGGAACGACUCUUCAAGCCCUCGACUGCACCGUCACUAUCAAGCACAGCGCAACCUCGGGAAGAACUCCCUCAACCACCUGCCACAGGAGCCCCGGCCUGUGGCCGAACCUCGGGAGCACGCUUGCUCCUGGCGCUGGAGCCUCAGGAGGGAUGCUGGACUACGGAGUUCAAGGAUUACCUGAUGCAAGGGACUCUACCAGAGAAGGAGGAGGACGUGGAAUGCGUGGCCCGAUAGGCCACGGCCUACUGCAUCCAAGACGGCGAGCUCUACCGGAAGCGGCCAAAGGAUGUUUCCCUGCAUUGCAUCUCUAGGGAACAGGGGAAGGAGUUGCUGGCUGACAUACAUGAUGGAGACUGUGGACACCACUCGUCAUCAUAGACCCUCGUUGGCAAGGCGUUUUGCAGCGGGUUUUACUAUCUACAUCACUCAACAACGCAAUUGAGCUGGUGAAGGCUUGCGAAGCCUGCCAAUUCCAUGCCAAGCAGAUCCAUCAGCUAGCUCAGGGCCUGCAAACCAUCCCACUCUCGUGGCCAUUCGCGGUCUGGGGUCUGGAUAUCUUGGGCCCGUUUCCUCAAGCGCCUGGGGGCUACCGCUGCCUCUACGUCGCCAUCUACAAGUUCACCAAGUUGGCGGAGGUGGAAGCCGUCCGCACCAUCCCAGCUGGCUCUGUAGUCAAGUUCAUCAAGGGCCUCUUAAGCCAAUUCGGGGUCCCUAAUCGCAUCAUCACCAACAACGGUUCGCAGUUCACUAGCAAUCUCUUCAAAACAUAUUGUGCUAACCUUGGAACGUAGAUAUGCUAUGCUUCGGUGGCACACCGUCGGAGUAACGGCCAAGCCGAACGCGCCAACGCAGAGGUCCUGAAAGGCCUCAAAACCAGGACCUUCAAGAAUAAGCUGGAGGCUUGCGGUAGGGGCUAGUACAACGAGCUCCAGUCCGUGUUGUGGUCCAUCUGCACUACCGCCACUAAGUCGACUGGCAAGACCCCAUUCUUCCUCGUGUACAGAGCAGAGGCGGUCCUCCCUCACGAGGUCAGGCAUCGCUCCGAACGGGUCUUAGCGUUUGACGAAGCGCAGCAGGAUGCCAUGCGGGGGAUGGACCUCGUGUUGGGGAGGAGCACCGUCGAGAAGCCGCACUACGAGCAGCAAGAUACCAGCAGGCGCUGCGGCGGUAUCAUUGCCACAACAUCUGCCCCAGGACUCUUGAGGUAGGUGACCUCAUGCUCAGGCGGGUGCUCUCCAGGGAAGGGCUGCACAAGCUCUCGCCAUGUGGGAGGGCUCGUUCAAGGUCAUUCAUGUUUCCAGGCCUGGGGCUGCGCGCCUGGAGACUCAGGAGGGGGUGCCCAUCCCAAACGCUUGGAACAUUCAGCACCUCUGGAAGUUCUACCCUUGAAGAAAGGCCCGAUGCCUAUGAAGAAGGCCACGUGCCUGUGAAGAAAGGCCCAGUGCCUGUAAAGAAGGCCUGGUGCCUGUGAAGCUCGCCGCCCCAAGAAAAGCCCGGUGCCUGUGAAGAAGGCCCAGUGCCUGUGAAGCUCGCCGCCCAUGACAUUCUCACGUAAUAAUGAGUUGGGGCUGUACAUGCCCCGGAAUCUCCGGAGUGACACCCUUGGUCCUCGGGGGCUCCCGCCCACGCCCAGUGGCAGCACUUAGCUCCGCGCUGGUGAGAAGACGUCGAAGACUAGACUAGGUGCCGGACGUGGCUUUUCAUUUGCUUUCCGCAGUUGGCUUGUUCUCCCUUGUUUGGACCUUUAUUGGAGUUGCUUCUAGUGUUGUUUGCCGUUCUCUGCCACUGUUCUCUGUUUUUGGCUCUUGCCUGGCUCGCUCUCUUUCUCUCGCAAGCUCGUGAGGAAGGGUUGCAAGCACCCUUGUGAGCCCUUUCUCGCUUGGUUUUCGCGAGGCUCCCUCGUUCAAGUUCACAGCGGGAGCACCCCUCCCGGUCCAUGCCCCACGGGCAUCACGACAGAAAGCACCAAGCCUAAGCCGGCAACUCUCGCGACCAAGGUUCGAAAACUAUCCUCCCGACUGAUCUCUGCAGAUCUUAAGGCGCCUGGCGAGGCCUCAAGCGAGUACCUCACGAGGAAAAAACCACUGCAAACAUCCCGAGCUAAGUUGUUCCUAUGUGCAGGAACAUAAUCAUAACACCAUAACACAGCACAAGAACGAUAAAUGUAACAUGAUAAUUGGGAAUCACAGUCUAUUGCACGCCCCCGCAGGGCUCCAUACUUCUCUCUCUCUCUCUCUCUCUAUGUAGGAAAAGGAGAAAAACAAAAUAAAAACAGUGCGCGCCUUGCGACAGCUCGCGAGGAAGGGUCCGCAUCGUCCUCCCGAGCUCAAUCGAACUCCGCCUUGCGCUUCACUGGGGCGCGGCAACGGGACGACCCGCUACUGCCCUCGAAUCGUCCGCGGCGACGUGGUGGCUGAUCGCGGCCACCACCGGAGGAGCUGUCACCGGAGGAGGAGCCGCUGAAGCUCGGCGAGCUGCGGACGCCGCCGGGAGCGGGGCCGCCUUCGCCCUCGUCAUGACCGUCGCCAAGGCCAAGCACCUCGUCGCCAUCAUCGUCUUCAGGGCAACACCCAACAUGGCGGCCAUCUUCUCCAAACACCCUCGUGUAGAGGGUCGUGUCGCCAUCGAACUUGAAGUGGAGGGUGCACCGCCGGCCCAGGCCACACGCGCGGGCAAUCAUCUGCCAACCGCGGGCCAGGGCCACGUUCCCGGCGACCGAGAUCACCACCACGACCCAGGAGGCCCUGCUGCAGCAACCGUCCGCCUAUAGCCAGAGCCCGCCAGGGCCAGCGGCCGGUAGUUCACCAACGAAGAAGUGAGGGAGCUGGAGCCAGUUGCCGCCCGGGUUGUUCGACCACACAACAAACUCUGGCAGCACCUCUGCCAAACGGAAGUGCGGCCGGGGAGGCCCCGCAGCCACGGCGUGCCUUCCUUCACCGACUGGGCUGCCCCGAUGCAGGCGGCCACCACCGCGCGAAGAGCCACCACCGCGACCACGAGGAGCCGUGACGGGAGUCGUGAGAUGCUUGCGGGGACGACCACGGCCGCGCUUGGGCGGAGGAGAGUCGGGCCCUUCUUGGCGGGCCUUCCCCUUUUCCACGGCCGAUAACCUCCUCCUGGGCGCCAUGGGACACGACAAGCAACCAGAGCAAGGAGGAAGAAGAAGCAGGCAGAGCAAGAAGAGAUGGGCAACGGGGGCUCACGCCUCUCCGUACUUAUAGUCCAUAGGAGGCCAACCAUCGACCUCCAUGAUCGCAGGUAAUCAUGACCCUUUUUGCAAGCAGCAGGGACUCGUCAAAUCAGGCAGUUGCCGAGGCAGCAUGGGGAAGCGGAGACGCCCACGUCCAAUCAACCGCCACGCGGCGACCAAGGCCGCAGGCUGUUGGGGCCUGCGGUGCUCCGCGCUUGCCCUUUGGCUUCGCUGCUAAGCCAAGUCCGAGCGCGCCUUGGGCCCGGGGGCUACUGUCGGCAUUCUGGGAACGGGUCAGACUUGCCUACCCGCAGCCUGCGGCGUGGCUCAAGCAGUGGCCCAGUAUGGCCCGUCUUCAUCAAGCCAAGUUCAAGACCUGCGCGAGGGGACAAGCCUCGCGGGGCAUAUGACACAAGGCUUCCUCAGGGGCAGCCUCACCAGGCAGGCUCGCGAGGAGGCAGAGAGAUCAAGGCAAGGAGUACCUCGUGAGGUGCUCAUGACGCAAGCCAUGACGAUCAAGACCAGGCGGGCGCCAGCCAGCGCAGUGUCCUCGUUUCCUCUUUGGUGCAAAGGGGGCAAGCACAGGCGCGGAGUACCGAGGCAUAUCGGUGCAAUGAGACCAAGACCAGUAGAGUGGCAGGACGGAGAUCACCGUGGAGCCCAAGGCAGUGUCAUCGCCAGUGCCUUUGGCAGUAAAAGACCAACUUUAGUCAGGAUAGCUUGUACUAGCCGUGCCCCUUCAAAAUGGUCGUUGUUGUCCCCCUUCCCGCUCAAUAUUUGGGAAGAGGACCAGGGCCUCCAUAUAUAGAGAUAGCCACCACAGUAGAGGGGAUGGAAUCCUUCCCUAGUAGAACACCGCACCAGCUCAAGAACACCCCUCGCAACAUUGUUCUUCCUCUGUACUGUUCAUCAUCGGCCCAAGAGGCAAUCCACCACACCACACACUGGAUUAGGGUAUUACACCACAACGGUGGCCUAAACCAGUAUAAAUCUCAUGUCCCUUGUGUUGUUCAUCGUGCUAGCUUAGAUCCGCGGCGAGGUUUUGAGGCGUGGAUCGGUUGGGAGAAGAUCUUCGUGCGCACCCCAGAGUUCGAACCUUAAGGGUUUUGCCGGAACCCUAUAUCCGACAAUUACUGCUAUAUGCAUGUUUUUUGUUAUCAAGAUAAUAUUUAAAUUAUUGUAUAACUUGACAACAAUCGUAUUCAAAUAAGGAAAAUUGAUUCAAAUUUAGUCCAUAUGGUAGACGAUAAUAUAUAUGUUCACAUGGUGGAGUAAAAUGUUCAUAUAUGAUGGAAGAUCAAAAUGAACGACUACAUCAAUUAUAAACCGCAAGGUCACCUAACGAUAUAUUCGAAUCCAACAUAACAUGGAUUCAAAAAUUGAAAUUCGAGAUCCUGGCAUUUGUAAUCAUAUAAAAAGGGACAUUACUCUUUCUUUUGGUGGGAAUUGAUUUAUUUUUUGUUGUUGUUGAGGGAAGUGCGAAUCGAUUUGGUACUGUGCAGGGUAAUCUUGUUCUCCUGAUUUUUUUUACAUUGUUCUUGUAGAUUUUUCAAUGGCAUCUAUAGCAAUAUAGUAAAAGGGGACAUGACUCUCUUGUGUCUUGUAUGAAUUUUUUUUACACGUUAAGUUUGUUCUGCCGAACAAGGAAUCCGCACCUUGUUAUCCCGAAAUUUUCAAGCUCAAGUAUCUUUUGUCUCACCUGCUUUGAAACUCCCGCCUCUUCAACCCGCGCCGCGCCUUGUUAUCCCAAAAUUUCCAUGCGCGCGAAAACUCCCUCCUCAUCCGAAAUCGGUCCCACAGCCCAGACACGUGAAAUCCCCCUUCUACCCCUCAGCCGGAAAUGAAGCUCCACGCCGCGGUGUCAAAACUGGUGGGGGUACGAUGGUAACUUACCCUACAUUUUGGACAAGAGCGUCCCUAAGCUUGGCUCCCCCCUCCCCCUUCGCCCCCCAUUCGUACACCGAGGCCGCCAAAACCUGCGAAACCCCACGCUCCUCCGUCGGCCUGCCGACCGCCGCCCAACCGGAGACUCUUCCUCGACUACGUCGUCCACCACAACACUCGUCGUCCCUCAUCCACCGCACCAAAUGAGGAUCCGGCAUUGAUCUCGUCGUCUCACUGGAUCGGCCGCCCCGUCCUCCACCUCCAAGGAGCUGCCGCAAUGUUCGCCUCGUCUAUCGCGCCACCUCAAUCCCCACAGUGUCGUCUUGACCUGCCCCACCGGAACCGCAGCACCCUCACCAAUUCCUUCGAUGAAGCCGAGGCCAACUCGGUGCCACCAAGGAGGUUCUGCACUCACCGCUGCAUUUUAUCUUUUAUUCGAUCUCACGGGGCUGCCGGUGUUCGAUACCGAGCAGACAUGGCGGGUCUCCAUCGACGGUGCCGUCACCGAGCACAUCAUCCACGGCGUCUCUCCCCCAUGUUGUUGCUUCCUCGACGGCAACUUCCACAACGGCACUAGAUGCAGCUGCUCCGGCUCUCGCUCGUGUUGCGGCUCUGUUCUUGCUGUCGGUCGCGCUGCUGCACUGCUCUUGCUUUCGUUCGUGCUACUGCUCUGCUCUUGCUCUUGCUUGCUUGCGAUGUUGCUGUUGCUACUGCUGCACGACCUCCAGCAGCUACAGGAGUUGCUGCUUUAGCACUCGCUCGCGGUGCUACUACACGAUUUGCUCUCUGCUAGUGUGUUCCCUGCUCGAGCGUCUGGUGAUUUAGAUCACUGCUUCUCUGCCACUAGUGCUCGAACGCCCUAAACAUCUAUUGCAAUGCUCCACUACUAGUUCAAUCAGUUUCGACAGUAAAAUUCAGUUUUGACUGUAAAGUUCAUUUUCUUCAGUUAAGUUUAGAGUGAACAGUACUUACAACAUCUGUCAGAGCCUCCGUGACGCGACUGAUGCAUUUUACAUCUAGCACUUUUUGGUGAUGUAUUUUACAUCAUCUAUUGCAGAUGAUAUUUGGGUCCCACUUCAGAUUAACAUUGUCUGUCUUGUCCUGCUUCAGCCUCGCCACCGUACACCUCAGCGGAGCUGCUCCAACGAUGGAACCGUCCAUCACAGCGGAGCAGUACCCUCGGCACCAUUUCCAGAGGCCUCGGAUCUUCUUCCCCGCCUCCGAUAGUCACACCAGUAUCACCAUCCUCCACGACCAACCCAAUGAUGCUGAGGUCCACAAGGCUAUGCCAAAGAGGUUGUACACUCGUCGCAUCACUUUGUUACUCUGCAUUCGUGUCGAUCCCUCAGGGAUCCUUUGCUAUGGAACUACUAUUCGUGCAUUUGGUUAGAAGGAGUGGAGCAAAGCAAAACUGGAGGAUUUUUUUUCCUUUGGUGUCUCUUUCAAAGAAAAAAUGUAGGAAUUUUAUUCACUUGGACGUCCUUUUCAAAUUAAUAUGCAUGAAGAACAAAACUAAUUGCAUUACUGGCAUAAUAAGAUUCUUAUUUUUUUUCAUUUCCAUGUGGUUUGACUUUAAUUUGACCACGUUUCUCCAUUCCCGUGUUCUUCCAAUUCAUGUGAACCAAACACCCGGGUUGACUAAAAUCCUAUGUUUCCAAAUGCUCUGUUUUGCACGUGCAUUCCUAUUCUAUUCGUGUGUUUUUCCUGUCCCUGUGUUUAUAGAAUCCUCCAAUUCUAAGGAGCCCUUACAGAUUUACUUCAUUUUCCGAUAGGCGUCAAAGAAAACUCUGUGUGUUAUGUCCUGCUCCUGUCGUGCCGGUAUCCACCCCACCUGAGGUGCACCAUUGAUAGAAGCGUUCACUACAGCAGAGAUCCCCCCUGCAGACUUUCUUUCGCCGCCUCAGAUCAUCUUCCCCGUUACCGGCAGCCACGCCAACUGCAUUACCAUCAUCGACUGAGCAGAUGAACCUGAGGACUACACAGUUCUGGAAGAGAGGUCGCAGUCUUUCGUGUUUGCUUACGUUAUACAUCGAUUAUUAUUACCUGCUACUUUAUCGUUCAAACUUGAGUUUUGAAUUGCCCGUGGGUCUCAUAUCGAGGCAGUGUCUACUAUCUGGUUCAUCUGGGGUCUUCUAUGUGGUUCAUGUUGGGUGGGCAACAAACAAUAGAUGAUCCAUUGUCUAUCUUUUUAAACUGAAGCUAUAAUCUACCUGCUAUCAUUAGUUUUGGAUCCAUCCACUCAUUUGCUACCAUCAGUCUUGAUUUUUGCAUGCACCCCUUAGGACUUACAAAAUCUAACUAUUUUUACAAUCGUACUGAACAUGGAGAGAAAAAGAGAAGACCAUUGCGUGGGAAUAUAAUGCCAUGCAGAUGCUGCUCCAUGGUGGGCGAAGUGGGCCCCCCUCCUGCAUUUCUAGAUUGUAUUCUAGAGGAAGAUAACUGUUCAGAUGAGGAUUCAGAAGGAGCCGACCAUGCCUGUUUACCACCUGAGGUGUUUGCUCUAACCUGGCAUGCUGAUGUUGGUCAUAUCAUGUAUAUGGCACCUCGCAUUGCUUAUAUUAUACAUCUUAUAUGUCAUCAGCUUAGUUUAGAUUUGCUUUGUGUGAAUGCCACCUGUUUGAUUUCUAUAUCAUACUCCCACCAUUCCUAAAUAUUUGUCUUUUUAGAGAUUUCAACAAGUGACUACAUACGGAACAAAAUGAGUGAAUCUACACUCUAAAAUAUGUCUAUAUACAUCCGUAUGUGGUAGUCCAUUUGAAAUCUCUAAAAAGACAAAUAUUUAGGAACAAAGGGAGUAUAUGGGAAUUAUGCAAUGCCAUCUUCUUUAGCCAGGCAUCAUAUACGUGAAUCAUGCAAUGCCAUCCUGUUUAGCCAGUCAUCGUAUAUGUGAAUUGUAUAGUGCCAUAUUUUUCCAUAAUGUAUUCCAUUUGUCAGCAAUGUUUAUACAUUCAUCUACUCUUCCUAUGCAUUAGCCAUUUGAGUCGGUCAUGGGAAAAUCAGGAGUGAAAACAAGGUCUUCUGAGCAGUCAGUGCUACCUGUGAUGCAGAUUUCUUGCUGGUUACAGAUAGCUCCUCAGAGGAGGAUUCAAAGACAGAUGACCAAUCUUAUCCCCCCCCUCCCGAGGUGCAUGCUCUAACUUGGCUGGGUUAUAUUGCUCAUAUCAUGCAUAUGGUGUCUUGCAUUGCCAUGCCAUCUGCUUAGAUUAGACAUGCUUUGUGUGAAUGUCUCUUGUUUGCUUUCUAUAUCAGAUAUGUGAAUUAUGCAAUGCCAUGUUUUUCAGCCAGUUAUCAUAUAUGUGAAUUAUGCACCGCCAUGUAGCCAGCAUAAUAUAUGUGAAUUAUCUCAUGCCAUCUUUUUUUUUCAUUACGUAUUCCAUUUGUCGACAAUCUGUGUAUAUUGAACUACUCUUCAUGUGUAUCAGCCAUUUGAGUCGGUUAUGGAAAAAUCUGGAGUAAAAACAAGGUCUUCAGAGCAGGCAAUGGUACCUGUUGAAGCAUAUAUCUCGAUGGUUACAGGGAGCUCCUCAAAGGAGGAUUCAGAGACAGAUGACCAGUCCUAUAUCCCACCUGAGGUGCAUGCUCUAAGUUACAAUGUUUAUAUUUCUCAUAUCAUGCAUAUGGUGUCUUGCAUUGCUUAGUUUAGACAUCAUAUGCACAAUAUUGAAUUCCAUCUGCUUAGUUUAGAGAUCAUACAUGCGAGUGCCAGCUGCUUAGUAUAUGAAUCAAUUAUGUCAAUUAUAUCAUGCCAUCCUGUAUACUUAGACAACAUGUAUGUGAAUUAUUUCAUCCCAACCUAUUUUAGAAAGACAUCAUAUAGUUUUGUCAUGUCAUCCUAUUUAGGUACUCAUCAUAUGUUGAAUUAUGCCAUUAUAUCCUGUUAAGUUAUCCAUCAUAUAUCUGAAACUGUGUCAUACUAUCCUGUUUAGUUAGGCAUCAUAUAUGUGAAAUUGUGUCAUGCUAUAUUGUUUGGUUAGACAACAUAUAUGUGAAUUACCACAUCUGUCUAUCAUAAAAUGUAUGUACGUUCAAUUUCUUUUCUUGUUUAUCAGCCAUUUGAAUUGGAGGGGUGAUGGCAGUAUCUAAGGGAGCAAAAACCCGUUCUUCACAAAAGACAGUGCUACCCGUCGAUGCAGAUAGAACCAUGGUUGUACUGGACCACAAACUAGCCCCACCACACAUAAUCGAGACUCUUCCAGAUUGCACACUUACACCUUGGGCAGAGAACCAGCUACAACCCAUCUAACCGCAACCCCAGCGGAUAGUAACCCACUUCUAGUUGACAAAGAACCAUGUCCACCACAGAGUACCCCCACACGAGCAGUUUGUAAAGCUACUGCAGUGCCCAAAGCACGAAGACCACCACAGCUAACCCAAACUCCACGUUUAAAGCAGAAGAUCAACUGUUAUCAGGUCAGAUUCCGUAGCUAUGGUCCAUACUCUUUUGCUGUUGCAUCACUCUAUUUACUCAUACCAACGACUUUCGAAUUUGAAGGAUCCAACUGAAACUCCAAUGGCACAACACGCCCUGUUCAAGAAAUCUUUCGAUUCAUUGAUUUAACGUCCGAUUUAUCGCUACUCAUGGGGUGACCGAUAAAAUUACGCCUUAUCUUCACCUUUUAUCGUUUGGGCCGAUUUAUCACUCUGACAAGCGAUUUAUCAGGAAUCUACCGAUAAAUCAGGCCUGUUUCUAACAUUAUGUUUGCAAAAACUAUGUUCAUUUGUGUUUUGUGGACCUUGUUUUGAAAUAUGUCCUAUUUUGUUUGUCAUUAUAAGAGGAUUCAAAGGCUAGGAAUCAAGGUAACACUUCUGUCCAAUAUUGUUUUGGUGUUGAAUAUAACAUAUUUUAGUGUUGGGAACUGGGAUUUGCAAAAAAUGGCCGAUUAAUAGUCAAUAGAUAAAAUCGAUUAAUCGGCCGAUUUCUGAUUAAUCUCUAAUCCCCAGCCGACUGAGACACUAAUGAUAAGUGAUAUCCUUAACAUUGGCAACAUGUAUGGUUUAAACCUAUUUCUUUAACUGGAUAGUUGUUCUAACUUCUUGCUCUAUGUUGAUUUCAGUUUAAGUUGUAUAAACAGUUAUGUUCUCAUGUGAUGCACAUUACAAGUGCUACCAAUGUUGUGUAGUUUCUCACACUUAUAUUCUGUCUAUGCUGCUGUGUCUUAAAAAUAUAUUAGUUGAACUAUGUCUCUAUCUUGAUUAGGCAACAUAAACUAGAAUGAUAUGGACAAUACAGUGACCACAGUACAUAGAUAUAUGUUUGUUUCAUGCCAUUAUCCUAUCCACCUUACUACUGAACCGGUUUACCAAAAUGAGUUUCGUAUACUACAAGCUAAACCUGUGAUGUGUCUGCUUGUUUCUCUUGUAGUAUGCAAACAGAAUAUUCGAGAAGAUCACCCCACUAUGCAAUGGUAGAGAAAGUAAUGCAGAUAGGUUCAAGAUAGUGAGGCAACCCUGUUGGUCUCUAAGAAAGGUGAUAAAAACGAUCUUGUAGACAGUGAGAAAACCCCAUAGUCCUGCAUUGAUGUAGUAUUCGACUUACUGGCCAGUAGCGCUAGCACAAGCUCUUCGAACUCACUGCCUGAAUCACUUCAGCUUCUUCAGUCUCAGCUACAAGCUGAAAGGCAUCAGUCAGCUGUGCUAUGGCAAGAAGCCGAAGGACUGAGGAAGUCCCUGCAGAAUUCAGAUGCGUGCUUUCUUGUGCAAUAGCAAGCGCUGGAGAAUUUAAGCGUCAAACAAGAGAAAGUUAAUAAGCUUGCUAAGCAUCUUGCCAGCAUUAUGGGUACCCAGGAUAUUGUUUCUUGAGCUCUUCUGAAGUGGUUUCAGCUCUGGACUUGUUUUGCUACGGCAUUUAUAUGCUACAUUGUUCCCUAUAUUUGCACUGGUGGCGAACUUUGAUGCCCAGUGGAUGUAAUAUGUGUGAUAGCCGUGAUAGCCUAGCAUAAGUUGUUUGCUUAUUUAUUUCCUUGUUGUCUUGUUUAUUUGUUUGCUUGUAGUCAGUGCAGUUCUUUUUUCGCGGUUUGCUAGUGGCCACAAUAACCUAUUUUUUAAAACUAGGCCACAAUAACCAUGGGCUACAUAUUUACUGUAGUGACACUGGGCCUCCUACCGGCCGUAGAAACAAUGGGCCUUCUACAGGCCGUAGAAACAAUAGGCCUUCUACGGAUCAUAGACAGAAUGGGCCUUCUACGGGUCGUAUCAUCAAUGGGCCUUAUAUGGGCCGGACGAUCGAUCGGCCAAACAUGGGCCAAUAACAGACCGCAUUAUGGUCGUAAACGGGCUAGAGUUGGAAUCGCCCGUUCAUGAGCCGACCAUAACGAGCCGUCGUUAAUAGGCUAUAUUUGAUGACGCUAUGAAAACGUCCCAAAGUAUCAACGGGCCACAAACGGGCCGACUAUAACAAUGGGCUAAAAUUGUCCCACAAGCAGAAAAUGACAGUAACGGGCCGUAAGUAACCGAAUGCUGGAAAUGAGCCCAAGAAUAAAUAGGCCCUGAGAAGGCCGAAAGAUAACAUGGGCUAGAAACGGCCCAAUGGAAUAAUGGGCCGUUAAUGGGUAUAAAGUGAUACACUAUUCAUUACGGGCCAGUUUCAGCACGGGCCAUUAAUGGGCCAAGAGUUACAAAGGGCCUCAUUGGGCCGAAAGACGUCAUGGGCCAUACAUGGGCCGGAAGUUAAAAUAGGCUGGAAUCAUAUUGGAUGGACCAGAUGACGCUACUAGGCCUAAUUUGGAUAGGCCGUAACGGGCCCUUUGUUUGCGGGCUGUAAAUGGGCUAUAUACGAACAUGCCGUUAACAGGCUUUCCGUGGGCCGACCCGCCACCUUUUGACCAAGUCAAAUGGGCCAGCCUUUUCACAGGAAUGGGCCUCUGUUGGGCCGUGCCACGUGUCGAUGUAUCAUAGGCGCCUUCGGUCCAAUGAGUGGAUGACAUCUGUCCCAACGGUGAGAUGACACGUGUUUACUCCAGCCAAUGAUGAUUUUACACGUGGAAAAUCCCCAUUGGUCGGGGCUAUUAACGGGUUAUCGGAUCCAAAACCGGACCCGAUAGCUUAGCGGCAUUCUUUUACGGUGGAUGCCACAUGUCGGUCGCCCUUGACGAAAGCACUUCUAUGACGCAGGAAUUAUCGUCAUGGAAGUGGCCACUUCCAUGACGAUAAUUUUGGUAAUGUCAUGGAACACUUCUACGACAACACAUGUAUGACUAUCUUGAUUCUGUCAUAAAAUCAUCAUGGAUAUACAUGCAUGACAGAAAACGUGACCUAUUGUGACAAACACGUAUCAUCACAGAAGUGCAUUUUUUGUAGUGAGUAGCACCAAUUGCCCCGGUGCACCAGAUACAUUCCCCGCCAUCAUCAUCAUUUUCUAAAGGUUCAGGAUGGGGGCAGUGGUGGACGGCGGUGGUGGUGGGGCGGUGAGGCUGCCGCGGGAGCAUCGCCAAAAAUGGGCGGUGGUGGCUGGCGGUCCGGCCUAUGGUCCGUGGCGGCAAGAAGAAGAAAUCGUCGAGAGAAAAAAGAUGCACUAUGAUAUGUUUUCAGAAAACUGUUGUAGGUAGAAGAUGACUGCUGACUUUUAGAUUAGAUAUCAAGGGUAGAGAACCAUCGACUGACCCAAAUUGGGAUUUUAGUCGACUAGCACUUAGCUAACCCCUACACUUUUUUUAGCUAUAAGAGUGGUCAUUCUUGAUCAAUUUUGAAAGGUACAAUUGAUACAUCCCAAGGCUUGCUGAGCCAAAUAAAAGGACCACUAUCGAGUGAUAAAAUGCUCCGAACUAAAUUAUGGGCAUCUACAUUUGAAGCUUACUUUUCGUGGACGUAGAUCACCUCCCAGAAUCCAUUCUUCCGUUCUUGAAUCUCCCUGAUCACCGAGCUAUAAUGGCCAAGUUCGCCUUUGUUGAGAGCAUCACAACCGAGCUAGAGAUUACUCUUCCAAUACAUGGUGUGAGGUCCGCACCAGUGAGAGAAGCCCCGUGUUGGAUCUUGCCUCCUACUGGUUACAUGAAAUUCAAUGUGGACGGCAUAACUUGACCAUGGGAGGUGUCCGAACCUUCUAGAUGGUCUUGUUCAUGGUAGUCACCGUGGACCCGAAGAAUUGGAUCCUAUAAGCAGAGGCUGCCUAAUACUUUCCAUUUGCCUCAAAUUUCCAAAAGAUGACGUCAUCAGCGCCCAAUUAAAGUUGAAACUGCUCGAGACGAACCCAAGGAUCAUUCCACACAACCCAAGGCCAUCUCAGUGUGAGAGCUCUCACAAUUUUUCCUAAGUGGAGGAUCCCAAGCCCACCAAUGAGGGUGCGGCAUCAGGCAAACUCCAAGCCGACCUUGCAUUUUGCGCGUGAAGUUUUAUCUUUUUUUAGAAGAGGGGGAACACCCUCAGCUCCGCAUCGAGUGAUGCACACAACCAUUUUUAUUUUAAAAAAAUGCAAGUUUCAACAUCCGAGUUUGCUACUUGUGAGUUGCGUUGGGAUUUCCUCGAAGAGGAGGGGAUGAUGCAGUACAGUAGAGAUAAGUAUUUCCCUCAAUUAUGAAACCAAGGUUAUCAAUGCAGUAGGAGAACCAAGCAACACUAUGUAAACAACACCUGCACACAAGUAACAAAUACUUACAACCCAACGCGUAGGUUGUCAAUCCCUCAACGGUAUUGAGAUAGAUUAAAUUGUAUAGGAUUUGAUAAAUAUAUCUAACUAAAACACCAAAGAAAAUAAAUAAAAGAAAAUUGCAGCAAGGUAUAUUUGGUUUUACUAUAUGAUAGAAAAUAGACCUGGGGGCCAUAUUUUUCACUAGAGGCUUCUCUCGGGAAAAUAGCAUAUGGUGGUAAACAGAUUACUAUUGGGCAAUUGAUAGAAAAGCAAAUAAGUAUGAUGAUAUCCAAGGCAAUGAUCAUGUAUAUAGGCAUCACAUCCAAAAUUAGUAGAACGAAACGAUUCUGCAUCUACUACUAUUACUCGUUACAUCGACCGUUAUCCAGCAUGUAUCUAGUGUAUUAAGUUCAUGGAAAAAUGGAGUAAUGCAUUAAGAAAAAUGACAUGAUGUAGAAAAGAUAAACUCACGUAUGAAUAAACCCCAUCUUGUUACCCUUAAUAGCAACGAUACAUGCGUGUAAUGUCUCUUUCUGUCACUGCGAUUGAGCACCACAAGAUCGAACUCAUCACAAAGCACCUCUUUCCGUGACAAGAUAAAUCAAUCUAGUUGGCCAAACCAGACCAAUAAAUCGGAGAAGAAAUACGAGGCUAUAACAAUCAUGCAUAAAAGAGUUCAAAGAAAACUCAAAUAAUAUUCAUGGAUAGAUCUGAUCAUAAACUCAUAAUUCAUCGGAUCCCAACAAACACACCGCAAAAAAAGAGUUACAUCAAAUAGAUCUCCAAGAACAUCGAGGAGAGAACAUUGUAUUGAAGAUCAAAAAGAGAGAAGAAGCCAUCUAGCUACUAACAGACCUGUAGGUCUGUUGUAAAGUACUCACUCAUCAUCGGAGGGGCAGCAAGGAUGAUGAAGAACCCCUCUGUAGUCGCUGCCCCCUCCGGCAGAGUGCCGGAAAAGUCCUCUAGAUUGGAUCUCGUGGUUCUGGAACUUGCAGCGGCAAAAAAAGUAUUUAGUCGACUCCCCUAGGGAUUUGGGAUUUUAGUGUAUUUAUAGAGGUGGAGGUAGGUCAAGGUGGUGCUCGUGGGCCCCACUACCCACCAGGGCGUGCUAGAGGCGCCUGGCGCACCCUGGUGCCUAGUGGGCCCCAUGAGCCUCUUCUUGUGGGUUCCAGAAGCUUCCAGGGUCUCUUCUUGCCGAAAAAAAACUCAAAAAAUUUCGAGGCAUUUGGACUUUUUGGUAUUGAUAUGCUGGAACGUAAAAAACAAGCAAAAAACAGCAACUGGCACUUGGCACUAAGUUAAUAGGUUAGUCCGAGAAAAUGAUAUAAAGUUGCUGGUAAAUGUAUAUAAAACAUGGAAGAUUAAUAAAUAAUAAUAUAACAACAUGGAACAAUCAAAAAAUAUAAAUACGUUGGAGACGUAUCAGCAUCCCCAAGCUUAAUUCAUGCUUGUCCUCGAGUAGAUAAAUGCUAAAGGCAGAACUUUUGGAAUGUUAUCAACCAUGUUCGUCACAUAUUCUUUUCUUUUGUAGCAUGGACAUUUGGACUUUAGAUGAUUCAAACCAAUAGUCUAUAAUUUUACAUGAAAGCAUCAAUACUCAAGCAUAUCAACAAGCAACCAUGUCUUUCAAAAUAUCAACGCUAAAGAAAGCUAUCCCUAGCCCAUUAUGCUCAAUCAUUGAUCCAUUUAUUAAACACACUCAGAUAUUAGCUACAUCCAAUGCACAAGUAUGAUAAUGGUGUUCCAUAGUUGGUUCUUUAUAAGAGAAGAUGGAGAUUCAAUUAAAAUAAAAAUUGCAUAAAAGUAAAUAUAUAGGCCCUUCAUAAAGGGGAGCAGAGAUUUGUAGAGGUGCUAGAGCUCAUAGCUUAAAUUGAGAGAUAAAAUUGUUUUGAGAGGCAUGCUUUUCCUGUCAACGAAAACGACCGAGAAUUUCCAUUAUCUUCCAUGCUAGAUAAAAUAUGAGCGGUUCCCAAACAUAAAAUAAAGUUUAUUUCCUUUCCACCACUAUUUCACAAUCCAUGGCUAGCCAUAUCCACGGGUGCCUUCCAUACCAACACUUUCCAAGGAAUUUAUUAUUUGACAACAUAAAGUUUUUUUUUUCAUUUCAGGACUGGGCAUCCCUAUAACCUGCCACACUCUCGUGCAAUGACAAGUGAAUAAACACUCAUCUUGAGAAUAGCAUACCUAGCAUGGAAAAUAUUGGCCACCCCCUGCCUCUUCAUGAGUGGUACGGACACACAAAAAGGAAAUUCAUUUUGAAAAUUAGAGUUGGCACAUACAAAUUUAUUUGGAACAGCGUCGAAAUACCGCAUAUAGGUAGGUAUGAUGGACUCAUUUGGCACAAUUUUGGUUUAAGGAGUUGGAUGCACAAGCAAUAGUUUCUCUUAGUAAAAUGAAGGCUAGCAAAUAGAUUGAGAAGCGACCAACCAAGAAACAAAAAUGAUCAAAUACAAGCAUUAAACAUAACUAACACUGAAUAAUGCACCACAAGUAGGAUGUAACUUCGUUGCAUAACUAUUGAGUUUCGUGCUUGCAUAGGGAAUCACAAACCUUAACACCAAUAUUCUUACUAAAGCAUAAUUACUCACCAACAUGACUCACAUAUUACUAUCUCCAUAUCGCAAAACUAUUGCAAGGAGUCAAGUUUAUAAUAUCCAAUGAUCUUCAUGAAAGUUUUUAUUAUCCCUCUUGAAUAUCUAUAAAUUUGGGACCAAAUUCACAUCUCGUGCAAAUUACCGUUACUAUUUUUAACUCUCAAAAAGAUCUAACUGAAGCAUGAGAGCAUAAAUAUUUCUUCAAAAAAAUUCAACUCUCAAAAUAAUAUAAGUGAAGCAUGAUAGCAUAUUUCUUCAAAAUUCUAGUAACUCUCAAGAUAAUAUAAGUGAAGCAUGCAAGCAUAUUUCUUUAAAAUUUUACUAAGUCUCAAAAUAAUAUAAGUGAAGCGUGAGAGUAUUUCUUCAAAUUAAAACACCACCAUGCUAAAAAAGAUUUAAGUGAAGCACAUAGAGCAAUUGCCUAGCUCAAAAAAAAUUUAAGUGAAGCACGUAGAGCAAUUGCCUAGCUCAAAAAAAUUUAAGUGAAGCAAUUCUAACAAAUCAUAAUAUCAUUAUGGAUCUCUCAAAUAGGUGUGUCCAGCAAGGAUGAUUGUGAAAAACAAAAAAGAAAAAUAAGCAAAGACUCAUAUAAUACAAGACGCUCCAAGCAAAACUCAUGAUAUGUGACGAAUAAAAAUAUAGCUCCAAAUAAAAUUACCGAUGGUCGUUAGAAGAGGGGAUGCCUUCUAGGGAAUCCCCAAGCUUAGUUGGUUGGAAGUCCUUGAAUAUUACAUUGGGGUGCCUUGUAUAUCCUAAGCUUAGGAUAUUUCCACUCCUUAUUCCUUCAUCCAUUGUGAUCUCACCCAAAACAUGAAAACUUCAAUCACACAAAACUUAACAAAAACCUUCGUGAGAUCCGUUAGCAUAAUAAAGCAAAUCACCACUUUAAGUACUAUUGCGAACCCAUUCAUAUUUUGUUAUUGCAUUAUACCAACUAUAUUCUAACUUUACCAUGGCUUUAUACCCCCUCAUAGAUACAUCAAAAUAAGCACACAAUGCAACGAAAAUAGAACCUGUCAAAAACAGAAUAGUCUGUAGUAAUCUGAACUUUGACCAUACUUCUGUAAUUCCGAAAAUUCUGAAUAAUUAGGACAACAUGGGAAAUUUUGUAUAUCAAUCAUAUGUAAAACAUUCAGAAUUUUAUCACACUCUAGCGAAUUUUAACAAUUCUGCUACUGGACGCAAAAGUUUUUGUUAAUGCACAUAAUCAAAUCAAUUAUCACCCAAAUUAUGCCAAAGGCUUUACUUGGCACAAACACUAAUUGAAACACUAAAACACAAUCAUAAAAGUAGUAUAAUUUCAUAUUUAUUGAAGAACGGAAAGGGAAAGAGGAUAACUAUUGGGUUGCCUCCCAACAAGCGCUUUUGUUUAAACCCUUUUAGCUAGGCAUUGAUAAUUUUAAUGAUGCUUGCAUGAAAGAUAAUAAUUGAAACACAAAGAGAUCAUCAUGUAGUAGUCAAGAACAUAUUUAAGUCUAAGAUACUUCCUAUGCAUAGCCAUUUUAUAAGCAAUCAAAUUAUCAAGGCAAGCAAAAACUAGCUUAUGCAAGGAAGAAGAAAGAAACAAUAGCAAUCUCAUCACAACGAGAUGUAAUUUAGUAACAUGAAAAUAUCUACAACCAUAUUUUACUCUCUCACAAUAAUUACAAGUAGGAUCAUAGUCAAAUUCAACAAUAUAGCUAUCAUAUAAAAUUUUCUCUCCAUGAUCCACAGGCAUAAAAAAAUUUACAAUCUUCCAAGGUAGUGGGAUUAACAUCAACUAGAGUCAUGACCUCUCCAAAUCCACUUUUAUCAAUAAAUUCAUAAGAUUGAACAUUCUAAAAAUAUGUGGGAUUAUUUUUACUUGGAGUUGACGCUCUUCCAAACCCACUUUCAAUAAUAUUUCAAACAUUAUUAUCAAUUUCAUAUUCAUCAUGAGGCUUAAAUAAAUUUUCAGGAUCAUAAGAAGAAUCAUCCCAAUCAUGAUCAUUACAAUAAGUAGUGGACAUAGCACAAUUAACAUCCCCAAGCUUGGGGUUUUGCAUAUGAUUAACACGAUUGACACUAAUAUAAUUUAUAAUAACCUCAUUGCAAUCAUGCUUUUCAUUCAAGGAGCUAUCAUGAACCACUUUAUAAAGUUCUUCUUUUAGCACUUCAUCACAAUUUUUAGAUUCACAAAUUUCAAUAAAAAACUUCAUAAAGAAAAUAUAGUGCACUUAACUCACCAGUAAUUGUUUCUUGUAUCUUUUAAAAAGAUUAGCAAGUGGAUGAGGGUCCAUAAGCUUUUUGCUUUCUGAUUUUCAAUAAACACACAAUUAUGGCAAACAAACAAGCAAAGCAACAAAGUAAAAUAUUUUUGUGUUUUUUAUAAAACGUUUUAGAAGUGGGAGAGAUGAAAAUGAGAGGCAAAGUCAAAUAAGGAGUUGAAAGUUUAUGCGUAGGUCCUUGAUAGAUGUUGAUGAUGUCCCCCGGCAACGGCGCGAGAAAUUCUUCCUACUACUUGUGAGCUAUGUUGGGAUUUCCCCGAAGAGGAGGGAUGAUGCAGUACAACAGAGAUAAGUAUUUCCCUCAGUUAUGAAACCAAAGUUAUCAAUCCAGUAGGAGAAUCGAGCAACACUAUGUAAACAACACCUGCACACAAAUAACAAAUACUUGCAACCCAACGCGUAGAGGGGUUGUCAAUCCCUCAAUGGUAUUGAGAUAGAUUAAAUUGUAUAGGAUUUGAUAAAUAGGUCUAACUAAAACACAAACUAAAAUAAAUAAAAAGAAAUUGUAGCAAAGUAUUUUCCGUUUUAAUAUAUAAUAAAAAUAGAGCCCGGGGCCAUAGUUUUCACUAGAGGCUUCUCUCGAGAAAAUAGUAUACGGUGGGUAAACAUAUUACUGUUGGGAAAUUGAUAGAAAAGCAAAUAAUUAUGAUGAUAUCCAAGGCAAUGAUCAUGUAUAUAGGCAUCACAUCCAAGAUUAGUAGACCAAAAUGAUACUGCAACUACUGCUAUUACUCCACACAUCGACCGCUAUCCAGCAUGCAUCUAGUAUAUUACUGAGUAAUGCAUUAAGAAAGAUGACAUGAUGUAGACAAGAUACACUCACGUAUGAAUAAACCCCAUCUUGUUACCCUUAAUAACAAUGAUACAUGCGUGUCAUGUCUCUUUCUGUCACUGAGAUUGAACACUGCAAGAUCAAACCCAUCACAAAGCACCUCUUCCCAUGGCAAGAUAAAUCAAUCUAGUUGGCAAAACCAAACCAAUAAAUCGGAGAAGAAAUACGAGGCUAUAACAAUCAUGCAUAAAAGAACUCAGAGAAAACCCAACUAAUAUUCAUGGAUAUAUCUGAUCAUAAACUCACAAUUCACCGGAUCCCGACAAACACACUGCAAAAAAAGAGUUACAUCAAAUAGAUCUCCAAGAACGUCGAGGAGAACAUUGUAUUGAAGAUCAAAAUUAGAGAAGCGCCAUCUAGCUACUAACUACAGACCCGUAGGUCUGUGGUAAACUACUCACGCAUUAUCGGAGGGACAUCAAGAAUGAUGAAGAACCCCUCCGUGAUCAUUGCCNNNNNNNNNNNNNNNNNNNNNNNNNNNNNNNNNNNNNNNNNNNNNNNNNNNNNNNNNNNNNNNNNNNNNNNNNNNNNNNNNNNNNNNNNNNNNNNNNNNNNNNNNNNNNNNNNNNNNNNNNNNNNNNNNNNNNNNNNNNNNNNNNNNNNNNNNNNNNNNNNNNNNNNNNNNNNNNNNNNNNNNNNNNNNNNNNNNNNNNNNNNNNNNNNNNNNNNNNNNNNNNNNNNNNNNNNNNNNNNNNNNNNNNNNNNNNNNNNNNNNNNNNNNNNNNNNNNNNNNNNNNNNNNNNNNCUAGAUUUGAUCUCGUGGUUUUGGAAGUUGCGGCGGCGGAAACAAUAUUUCGUCAACUCCCCUAGAGUUCUUGGGAUUUUAGAGUAUUUAUAGAGGCAGAGGUAGGUCAAGGCGGUGCCUAUGGGCCCCACUACCCACCAGGGUGUGCCAAAGGCCCCUGGCGUUCCCUGGUGCCUAGUGGGCCCUACGAGCCUCUUCUCGUGGCCUCCAGAAACUUCGAGGGUCUCUUCUUGUCAGGAAAAAUCUCCAAAAGUUUUGUGGCAUUUGGACUUUGUUUGGUAUUGAUAUUCUGCAAAGUAAAAGAACAAGCAAAAAACAACAACUGACACUGGGCACUAAGUUAAUAGGUUAGUCCCAAAAAUGAUAUAAAGUAGCUAGUAAAUGUAUAAAAAACAUUCAAGAUUGAUAAUAUAACAACAUGGAACAAUAAAAAAAUUAUAGAUACGUUGGAGACGUAUCGGAGUUCAAUAGAGUUCAACAAAUAAAAUGCCACAAAUGGCUGUCCUAAGGGCAAUAAAAAGACAUAGGAAAAUGAGCCUCAUACCUAGAGUUUAUCCUUAGCUGACCAGAGGAAAGGCACACUCAAUCUUGUUGUUGUGUAACACAACAGGGGCCGUCGAGGGGGUGAUGUGGUAAAUGACUUGUGAAGUAAGGACCGACUUAGCCAAAGCCGCCCGAGCGACCGUGGUGAUGUUUCUCCCUUGCCAGGGAGGAAGCUUCCGAGAAUGCUAGAGUCUUCAAGAAGAAAUCAAACGCUGCCCUACUGCAUUCUUGAGCUUAUUCAAGACCCGACCAGACUUUGGAUCACCGCGGCGGCUAGGCACCUUAGUAUCAUCAUGCCGCGAGAGUAGCAGUUGUUGUUUUCGUUUCAAAGGAUCUUCAGGCACUUGCAAAGGAUCUUCAGGCACAGAAAAAUUGCUACCGUUACAUAGAUGAUGGAUCCUGAACAUCAUGUGUAAAUGGGCAAUACUUACGUGAUGGUUUUUAUGGCUAGUAGUUUACAUACUGGACGACCCAUCUAGGGAGGCGCUACUAAACUCCGUUUUAGCCGGUUCUGUAAACAUUUUAGAAUGUUCCGCGCCAGGCUUGUUGUUUUUGUUUUAGUUCUUAUUUUGACUUUGAUUUCAGUUUUAUUUUUCUUUGUUUCUUUUUCCAUUCAUGAAUAUUCAUAAAUUUUUGCUCUCUUUUUAAAAAAUAAAAAAUGUCAAAUUUGUGAAUAUUUUUAAAUUCAUGAUUUUUUUCAAAUUCAUGGACUUUGUAAAAUUCACAAAUUUCUUUCAAAACCAAUGUAUUUUUUAUUGUGCCAUUUUAUGAACUAGCAGAAAAAGGUGCACAUUUUUCCUAAGCUAGUUUUUUACACUUUUCCUAAGCUAGUUGACUAGCCAUAGACAAGCGAAAAAAAAUCAACAAACAUGCCGAGCCAAAAUCCGAUUUGUCUCCUUCUGCGUUGUUUAAUUUGAUUCUUGUAGANNNNNNNNNNNNNNNNNNNNNNNNNNNNNNNNNNNNNNNNNNNNNNNNNNNNNNNNNNNNNNNNNNNNNNNNNNNNNNNNNNNNNNNNNNNNNNNNNNNNNNNNNNGCCGGCCCAUAGAGCUGUGUGGUUUUUCCUUUUUUUUCAUGAAUUAUCUGGUUUAAAAGAUGUGAACGAUUGAAGCUAGUGAAGGUAAAAUAUAUUAGUGCAUUUCUUUGGGAGAGAGAAGGGCAGCGCAUAACAUGAUUGAAAAGAGUAAUGCUAUCGACAAAGGUUAAUAAUAGGUAAUAGGUGGAUGAAGGGGCAAUAAUACUAGACGUACAGGCAGAUUGAUACAAGACUUUACAGGGAGAGAACGUGGUCUCAUCUAAUUGGCCUUCACUGGUGGGCCCGCCCUCCUAAUUAAAUCUCCUCUCGUACGUCUAGCAUUGCUCAUGAAGGGGCCCACCUCAAUUCAGGGGGAGGGAGAUAAUUAGUUUGGGAAGUUAAGUAAAAUAUUUGUAGAAUUUUGUAGGUCUAGCAGUAUAUUGGACUGAAAAACAUGUGACCUAUUGUAUCAUCUAUCACGUUAAGAGUGUAUUGCAGUUAUUUCAUUUGAGUAACAGUUCCGCUUAUAUUUCAUUUGAGUACAUUAUUCUGGCCACCAAUCUUGAGCACUCGAUGAAGGGUCCGGGAUCUGCCGGCACUCAAUUUUCCGCUUUCAUAAGCUACACACUACACAGAACCGGAGGGUGAGGGGGCGGGGUAGGAACUCGCGCAGUCUGCUGGGGCGAAGGUCACGGUGCCCUUGUCGAGAUCAUACCCAACGUGCAUGUUCUGCUGGGCGAUGUUCCCGAUGAUCGACGCCGGUAACUGCUCCGACAUCGCCGCCACCGCCAAGCACAGGAUCCCCUCCUGCACCUCCACGAACGUGUUCUCCGCCUUCAGCGUGACCGCAACGCUGCCGCCCAGCCCCAGCGUCACGUCAGGGAUCAUGGCCGCAACCUGCCCCUCCCGCACCCUGCUCACGUCGAAGCACAGCGGCAGGAACUUUUCUGGCGACUGGGCAGGCGGGAGCUUGAUCCGCCGUGUCAGCUCCUUCACAAGUGGGUCUAAAAGCGCCUCCGGGAGGUAUGUGAGCGUCGUGCCGGAGUCGACGAUGACGGGGGACUGGUCCGGCGCCGCGAAGGUCUNNNNNNNNNNNNNNNNNNNNNNNNNNNNNNNNNNNNNNNNNNNNNNNNNNNNNNNNNNNNNNNNNNNNNNNNNNNNNNNNNNNNNNNNNNNNNNNNNNNNNNNNNNNNNNNNNNNNNNNNNNNNNNNNNNNNNNNNNNNNNNNNNNNNNNNNNNNNNNNNNNNNNNNNNNNNNNNNNNNNNNNNNNNNNNNNNNNNNNNNNNNNNNNNNNNNNNNNNNNNNNNNNNNNNNNNNNNNNNNNNNNNNNNNNNNNNNNUAGCUGCAAUUGAGCCAGAUGAGGUCGCUGCCGGUGUCGGCGAUGGCGACCAUAGGAGUGGGCGGCGUGCCUAUGUUCACGGCCAUCAGGUAUUCGGACGACCUGGACGUGACCUCGGACACGACGCCGCCGUCAGCUGAGGGCGCGUCGACGCGGACGUAGUAGCGCGAGAGCGCCGCGGCGCGAGCCGCGGACCGCCGCACGGCCUCGAGCACGCGGGCAGGCGCGGUGAGCGUCGGGUCGUGGAACGGCGACCUGACCGAGUCACGGUGGAUGAACUCCACGCUAAACCCAUCGCCUCCGCUGACGGCGUACGCCGUGCACGCGCACAGCUGGGCCGUCAGGACGACGGCGGCGAGCAGGAGAGCGCGGGAUACCAUCGUCCGAGGCAUCGUGUCCUAGCUUAACUCCCAAGGAUUAGCUCUACUGGGGUUGCUUUGCUGCUGCUGCUAUGCAGAGGGCAGUAUUUAUAGGCGAAUUUGCGUAAGAUUAUAAUGGCAGAUGGUUAAUGGGGAGACGAAUGUGGUAAGUCGGGAUAUGAUCUCUACUUCUAAUAUAGCAGUUGGUGAAUAGUUUGCCGGUUUUUUUCGCUGGUUUUUUUUCAUCUCACCACUUCGUUGAUUUUAUUUCGCUGGUUUUAUUUCGUCUCCCUUCCACCUGCCUUUUCGCUUCACCACCCACAUAAACCCAUCAGAUUAGUUACCAUAUAUUCGUGCUUGAUCUGGCAGGUGUCGAUUCUAUUUAAUCAUGUAAAUAUUUGAUAAUUAAGAAUUCAAAAAUAAUACCAUAUACAGAAGAUCACCUUCCAAACAAAUCACCCCCCUCUCCGAUUUAUUUCUCCCACCGAUCUCCUUCCAUACUAAUAAAGUACGCAUUACAUUCCUAACGAAGAGAGAAAAUAAAAAAAGAACCUCCCACCCGCACGACCCCUCCCACGCCUCCAGUGCGCCGCCACCCGUCACCACGUUGCUGCGCCGCCACCCCCACCUCCAGUGCCCCGCCACCCACCGCCACGCUGCUGCGCGGCGACGGCAAUCUUCGGCCAGAUCUGGCUGAGGAGGCGAGUAGGAGUUGGAUCCUGUUCCGGGGACGGUGUGGAGAUGAUCUAGGAGGCGCGGGAGGAGGUCCAGCGGCGCGGUUAGCGUCGCCAGCCGCCACGCCGACGCCCACCCUCGCACCGGCAUCACCUGAGGCAAAAAACCGCAUAGACGCUCCUCCUCUCCCGGACAAGGUCUCAAAGGAGACACCGCCGCCGAUCUGGGGAUAUGCCGUCGCAGAUCACCAAGACGCGGCCGUCGCGGACCACCAGGACGUCGGCAGCGGCGGCGCCUCCGAUACGUCAUGGACCAGGACGCGGCCGUCGCCGAUCAGGAACAGGACGUUGCUGUCGCGGAUCCCAGGACACUGCCGGCGACGCCGCCUUAGAUACCCACACCAACCGCCAGCCGGUGCCCACCACAUCGACCAGCUCCAAGGUUUGUUCCUUCUCCUCUUCCUACCUUUUCUCACCAACGAGCAGCACGAGGAUGCAGCAGCGGCCUGCUAAAAAAGAACCAAAGGCCCCUGUUCGUGCAUCUCUUUCUAUGUAUGUGGAUAAAUGGGAGGUUGGGUUAUGCAGUCGAGUUGUUUGAUAAAAUGUGCACAAAGAGCAUGAUCCAUGUCUCUGUUUCUUCAUGAUUAAUUUCUUCCUAUCUUGAGAUGCACAUGAACAUUUUUCAGAUGGUGGUAUGCGGUUUUCUUGGCAGCGGCGUCGGGAUCAGGCUCCAGUUCCCCCUACCCCACAUUGUUGUUGUUGUUGCUGCUGCUCCAGUUCCAAUUCCAGCGAGUGCCAGCGAUGGGGAUGCUCGGAUCGCAGUCCCUGCUCUCAUUUUCCUCCAACCUCUGGUAAGCCUCCUCCUCACCCGCUUCGCCGAAGCGGGAUUCAUAGGUUAGUUUAGUUUGGAAGUGUUCACUGGGCUUGUAUGUUUCAUUCCUAACAUGCUAGCUCCUGCCUAAACACGCAUUAGAGAAUCUCAUGUAUGUAACAGAAGAUACACAAAUGUGGUUUUCCAGGGAGCAUCAGCUACGUCUUAUGUGGGGAUGAACCGAGUGAUAGGAAAAUAUUUUGUUGAAUGCAAUGGGAAGGCGAAAAACGACACGCCUUGGUGAAGCAACUCUGAGAUUCGGUAAGGCUAAUCAAGUCUGCAAUCAAAUCCAAAAGCAGGGGCAGAGAAAAACGUUAAAAAUACUUUUUAGCUAUUGAUUGAAGUGACCGGUAAUUAGUAGCAGGAGCAACAGUUGUAGUAAUAACCUACCUAGGCAUAUUUUCUCUCUUUCCUAUCACAUGGCACAGUGAAUAACUUUAUAGUACAAAUUUGUUCCUUUUUGUGUAUAUGACAAGUUGGCAACUUCACAAAAUACAUUCACAUUUGUUAUUUUAAAUUAUCAUGUCAUGGAGGUUCUCGUUAUUUCGAAUCUUUGGUUGGAACCUUCAUUUUGUGUUAUUAAAUGCACAUGGUAUUCAAUUAUCUCCAUUAUGGUGAGAAGACUUUGAUCUUGAUAUAUCAGAUUUAAGCCUCGUACACCAUAGGAGGUCCUCCUUUUGGUGAUAUUCACUCAUAUGCCAUUUUAAAUUAUCAUGUCAUGGAGGUGCUGGGUAUUUCGAAUCUUUGGUUGGAACCUUCAUUUUGUGUUAUUAAAUGCACAUGGUAUUCAGUUAUCUCCAUUAUGGUGAGAAGACUUUGAUCUUGAUAUAUCAGAUUUAAGCCUCGUACACCAUAGGAGGUCCUCCUUUUGGUGAUAUUCACUCAUAUGCCAUUUUAAAUUAUCAUGUCAUGGAGGUGCUGGGUAUUAUCUUUGGUUGGAACCUUCAUUUUGCGUUAAAUUCACAUGGUAUUCAGUUAUCUCCAUUAUUACCAGUAGCAACUGAAGGAAAUAUGCCCUAGAGGAAAUAAUAAAGUUAUUAUUUAUUUCCUUAUAUCAUGAUAAAUGUUUAUUAUUCAUGCUAGAAUUGUAUUAACCGGAAACAUGAUACAUGUGUGAAUACAUAGACAAACAUAUAGUCACUAGUAUGCCUCUACUUGACUAGCUCAUUAAUCAAAGAUGGUUAUGUUUCCUAACCAUAGACAUGUGUUGUCAUUUGAUUAAUGAGGUCACAUCAUUAGGAGAAUGAUGUGAUUAACAUGACGCAUUCCGUUAGCCUAGCACUUGAUCGUUUAGUAUGUUGCUAAUGCUUUCUUCAUGACUUAUACAUGUUUCUGUAACUAUGAGAUUAUGCAACUCCCGUUUACCGGAGGAACACUUUGGGUGCUACCAAACGUCACAACGUAACUGGGUGAUUAUAAAGGAGUACUACAGGUGUCUCCAAAGGUACAUGUUGGGUUGGCGUAUUUCGAGAUUAGGUUUUGUCACUCCGAUUGUCGGAGAGGUAUCUCUGGGCCCUCUCGGUAAUGCACAUCACUAUAAGCCUUGCAAGCAAUGUAGCUAAUGAGUUGGUUACGGAAUGAUGCAUUACGCAACGAGUAAAGAGACUUGCCAGUAACGAGAUUGAACUAGGUAUUGGAUACCGACGAUCGAAUCUCGGGCAAGUAACAUACCGAUGACAAAGGGAACAACGUAUGUUGUUAUGCGGUUUGACCGAUAAAGAUCUUCGUAGAAUAUGUAGGAGCCAAUAUGAGCAUCCAGGUUCCGCUAUUGGUUAUUGACCGAGAAUAGUUCUAGGACAUGUCUACAUAGUUCUCGAACCCGUAGGGUCCGCACGCUUAAGGUUUCGAUGACAGUUAUAUUAUGAGUUUAUGUGUUUUGAUGUACCGAAGGAGUUAGGAGUCCCGGAUGAGAUCGGGGACAUGACGAGGAGUCUCGAAAUGAUCGAGACGUAAAGAUCGAUAUAUUGAACGACUAUAUUCGGAGUUCGGAAAGGUUCCGAGUGAUUCGGGUAUUUUUCGGAGUACCGGAGAGUUACGGGAAUUCGCCGGAGAGUAUAUGGGCCUUAUUGGGCCAUAUGGGAAUAGAGGAGAGAGGCCGAAAGGAAGGAGGCGCGCAGCCCCCCUCUGGUCCGAAUUGGACAAGGGGUGCGGCCCCCUUUUCCUUCCUCCUCUCCCCCUCUUUCCCCCUUCUCCUACUCCAACAAGGAAGGAGGGAGUCCUACUCCCGGUGGGACUAGGACUCCCCUUGGCGCGCCCCUCCUCGGCCGGCCGCCCCCUCCCCCCUUGCUCCUUUAUAUACGGGGGCAGGGGGGCACCUCUAGGCACAACACAAGUUGAUCUACGGAUCAUUCCUUAGCCGUGUGCGGUGCUUCCCUCCACCAUAUUCCACCUCGGUCAUAUCGUCGCGGAGUUUAGGCGAAGCCCUGCGCCGGUAGAGCAUCAUCAUCGUCACCACGCCGUCGUGCUGACGGAACUCAUCCCCGACACUUUGCUGGAUCGGAGUCCGGGGAUCGUCAUCGAGCUGAACGUGUGCUGAACUCGGAGGUGCCGUACGUUCGGUAUUUCGAUCGGUCGGAUCGUGAAGACGUACGACUACAUCAACCGUGUUGUCAUAACGCUUCCGCUUACGGUCUACGAGGGUACGUGGACAAUACUCUCCCCUCUCGUUGCUAUGCCAUCACCAUGAUCUUGCGUGUGCGUAGGAAUUUUUUCAAAUUACUACGUUCCCCAACAGUGGUAUCAGAGCCUAGGUUUUAUGCGUUGAUGUUAUAUGCACGAGUAGAACACAAGUGAGUUGUGGGCGAUACAAGUCAUACUGCUUACCAGCAUGUCAUACUUUGGUUCGGCGGCAUUGUGAGAUGAAGCGGCCCGGACCGACAUUACGCGUACGCUUACGCGAGACUGGUUUCACCGUUGCGAGCACUCGUGCUUAAAGGUGGCUGGCGGGUGUCUGUCUCUCUCACUUUAGCUGAAUCGAGUGUGGCUACGCCUGGUCCUUGCAUAGGUUAAAACAACACCAACUUGACAAACUAUCGUUGUGGUUUUGAUGCGUAGGUAAGAACGGUUCUUGCUCAGCCCGUAGCAGCCACAUAAAAUUUACAACAACAAAGUAGAGGACGUCUAACUUGUUUUUGUAGGGCAUGUUGUGAUGUGAUAUGGUCAAGACAUGAUGCUAUAUUUUAUUGUAUGAGAUGAUCAUGUUUUGUAACCGAAGUUAUCGGCAACUGGCAGGAGCCAUAUGGUUGUCGCUUUAUUGUAUGAAAUGCAAACGCCCUGUAAUUGCUUUACUUUAUCACUAAGCGGUAGCGAUAUUCAUAGAAGUAAUAGAUGGCGUAACAACAAUGAUGCUACGAUGGAGAUCAAGGUGUCGCGCCGGUGACGAUGGAGAUCACAAGCACAAGAUGAUGAUGGCCAUAUCAUAUCACUUAUAUUGAUUGCAUGUGAUGUUUAUCCUUUAUGCAUCUUAUCUUGCUUUGAUUGACGGUAGCAUUUUAAGAUGAUCUCUCACUAAUUAUCAAGAAGUGUUCUCCUGAGUAUGCACCGUUGCGAAAGUUCUUCGUGCUGAGAUACCACGUGAUGAUCGGGUGUGAUAGGCUCUACGUUCAAAUACAACGGGUGCAAAACAGUUGCACACGCGGAAUACUCGGGUUAAACUUGAUGAGCCUAGCAUAUACAUAUAUGGCCUCGGAACACGGAGACCGAAAGGUCGAGCGUGAAUCAUAUAGUAGAUAUGAUCAACAUAAUGAUGUUCACCAUUGAAACUACUCCAUCUCACGUGAUGAUCGGACAUGGUUUAGUUGAUUUGGAUCACGUGAUCACUUAGAUGACUUGAGAGAUGUCUGUCUAAGUGGGAGUUCUUAAGUAAUAUGAUUAAUUGAACUUAAAUUUAUCAUGAACUUACUCCAGGUAGUAUUUUGCAAAUUAUGUUGUAGAUCAAUAGCUCGCAUUGUUGCUUUCAUAUGUUUAUUUUGAUAUGUUCCUAGAGAAAAUUGUGUUGAAAUAUGUUAGUAGCAAUGAUGCGGAUUGGAUCCGUGAUCUGAGGUUUAUCCUCAUUGCUGCACAGAAGAAUUAUGUCCUUAAUGCACCGCUAGGUGACAGACCUAUUGCAGGAGCAGAUGCAGACGUUAUGAACGUUUGGCUAGCUCAAUAUGAUGACUACUAGAUAGUUUAGUGCACCAUGCUUAACGGCUUAGAAUCGGGACUUCGAAGACGUUUUGAACGUCAUGGACCAGAUGAGAUGUUCCAGGAGUUGAAGUUAAUAUUUCAAGCAAAUACCCGAGUUGAGAGAUAUGAAGUCUCCAACAAGUUCUAUAGCUAAAAGAUGAAGGAGAAUCGCUCAACUAGUGAGCAUGUGCUCAGAUUGUCUGGGUACUUCAAUCACUUGAAUCAAGUGGGAGUUAAUCUUCUAGAUAAGAUAGUGAUUGACAGAAUUCUCUAGUCACCAUCACUAAGUUACUAGAACUUCGUGAUGAACUAUAGUAUGCAAGGGAUGACGAAAACGAUUCCCGAGCUCUUCGUGAUGUUGAAAUCGACGAAGGUAGAAAUCAAGAAAGAGCAUCAAGUGUUGAUGAUUGACAAGACCACUAGCUUCAAGAGAAGGGCAAAGGGAAAGAAAGGGAACUUUAAGAAGAAUGACAAGCAAGUUGUCACUCCCGCGAAGAAGCCCAAAGCUGGACCAAAGCCUGAAACUGAGUGAUUACACUGCAAAGGAAAUGGUCAUUGGAAGCGGAAAUGCCCUGAAUAUUUGGUGGAUAAGAAGGAUGGCAAAGUGAACAAGGGUAUAUUUGAUAUACAGGUUAUUGAUGUGUGCCUUACUAGUGUUUAUAGUAGCCCCUGAGUAUUUGAUACUUGUUCGGUUGCUAAGAUUAGUAAUUCGAAACAGGAGUUACAGAAUAAACAGAGACUAGUUGAAGGGGAAGUGACGAUGAGUGUUGGAAGUAGUUCCAAGAAUGAUAUGAUCAUCAUCACACACUCCCUAUACUUUCGGGAUUAGUGUUGAACCUAAAUAAAUGUUAUUUGGCGUUUGCGUUGAGCAUGAAUAUGAUUUGAUCAUGUUUAUUGCAAUACGGUUAUUCAUUUAAAAUCAGAGAAUAAUUGUUAUUCUGUUUACAUGAAUAAAACCUUCAAUGGUCAUACACCCAAUGAAAAUUGUUUGUUGGAUCUCGAUCGUAGUGAUACACAUAUUCAUAAUAUUGAUGCCAAAAGAUGCAAAGUUAAUAAUGAUAGUGCAACUUAUUUGUGGCACUGCCGUUUGGGUCAUAUUGGUGUAAAGCGCAUGAAGAAACUCCAUAAAGAUGAAUUUUUGGAAUCACUUGGUUACGAAUCAUUUGAUGCUUGCGAACCGUGCCUUUUGGGCAAGAUGACUAAAACUCCGUUCUUCGGAACAAUGGAACAAGCUACUGACUUAUUGGAAAUAAUACAUACCGAUGUAUGCGAUCCAAUGAGUGUUGAUGCUCAUGGCAAGUAUCGUUAUUUUCUGACCUUCACAAGAUGAUUUGAGCAGAUAUGGGUAUAUCUACUUGAUGAAACAUAAGUCUGAAAUAGUUGAAAUGUUCAAAGAAUUUUAGAGUGAAGUGGAAAAAUCAUCGUAACAAGAAAAUAAAGUUUGUACGAUCUGAUCACGGAGAUGAAUAUUUGAGUUACGAGUUUGGUCUUCAAUUAAAACAAUGUGUAAUAGUUUCACAGCUCACGCCACCUGGAACACCACAACGUUAUGGUGUGUCCGAACGUCGUAAUCGCACUUUAUUGAUAUGGUGCGAUCUAUGAUGUCUCUUACUGAUUUAUCACUAUUGUUUUGGGGUUAUGCAUUAGAGACAGCUGCAUUCACGUUAAAAAGGGCACCAUCUAAAUCCGUUGAGACGACAUCAUAUGAACUGUGGUUUAGCAAGAAACCCAAGUUGUCGUUUCUUAAAGUUUGGGGCUGUGAUGCUUAUGUGAAAAAAUUUCAUCCUGAUAAGCUCAAACCCAAAUCGGAGAAGUGCGUCUUCAUAGAAUACCCAAAGGAAACUGUUGGGUACUCCUUCUAUCACAAAUCCAAAGGCAAAACAUUCGUUGCUAAGAAUGGAUCCUUUCUAGAGAAGGAGUUUCUCUCGAAAGAAGUGAGUUGGAGGAAAGUAGAACUUGAUGAGGUAACUGUACCUGCUCCCUUAUUGGAAUGUAGUUCAUCACAGAAAUCUGUUCCUGUGACUACUACACCAAUUAGUGAGGAAGUUAAUGAUGAUGAUCAUGAAACUUCAGAUUAAGUUACUACAGAACCUCGUAGGUCUUCCAGAGUAAGAUCCGCACCAGAGUGGUACGGUAAUCCUGUUCUGGAAGUUAUGUUACUAGACCAUGAUGAACCUACGAACUAUGAAGAAGCGAUGGUGAGCCCAGAUUCCGCAAAAUGGCUUGAGGCCAUGAGAUCUGAGAUGAGAACCAUGUAUGAAAACAAAGUAUGGACUUUGAUUGACUUGCCCAAUGAUCGGCGAGACAUUGAGAUUAAAUGGAUCUUCAAGAGGAAGACAGACGCUGAUAGUGUUACUAUCUACAAAGCUAGAAUUGUCGCAAAAGGUUUUCGACAAGUUCAAGGUGUUGACUACGAGGAGAGUUUUUCACUCGUAUCUAUGCUUAAGUCUGUCUGAAUCAUGUUAGCAAUUGCCACAUUUUAUGAAAUCUGGCAAAUGGAUAAACAAAACUGCAUUCCUUAAUGGUUUUCUUAAAGAAGAGUUGUAUAUGAUGCAACCAGAAGGUUUUGUCAAUCCGAAAGGUGCUAACAAAUUGUGCAAGCUCCAGCGAUCCAUCUAUGGACUGGUGCAAGCAUCUCGGAGUUGGAAUAUAUGCUUUGAUGAGUUGAUCAAAGCAUAUGGUUUUAUACAGACUUUUGAAGAAGCCUGUAUUUACAAGAAAGUGAGUGGGAGCUCUGUAGCAUUUCUAAUAUUAUAUGUGGAUGACAUAUUGUUAAUUGAAAAUGAUAUGGAAAUUCUGGAUAGCAUGAAAGGAUACUUGAAUAAGAGUUUUUCAAAGCAAGACCUCGGUGAAACUGCUUACACAUUGAGUAUCAAUAUCUAUAUAGAUAGAUCAAGACGCUUGAUAAGAUUUUUCAGUGAGUACAUACCUUGAUAAAUUUUUGAAAUAGUUCAAAAUGGAACAGUCAAAGAAAGAGUUCUUGCCUGUGAUGCAAAGGUGUGAAUUUGAGUAAGACUCAAGACCUGACCAUGGCAGAAAAUAGAAAGAGAAUGAAAAGUCAUUCCCUAUGCCUCAGUCAUAGGUUCUAUAAAGUAUGCUAUGCUGUGAACCAGACCUAUUGUAUACCUUGCUCUGUGUUUGGCAAAGGAAUACAAUUUUGAUCUAAUAGUAGAUCACUGGACAUGGGUCAAGAAUAUCCUUAGUGAGGACUAAGGAGAUUUUUUUCUCGAUUAUGGAGGUGAUAAAAGAGCCCGUCGUAAAAGUUACAACGAUGCAAGCUUUUACACCAAUCCAGAUGACUCUAAGUCUCAAUCUGGAUACAUAUUGAAAGUGGGAGCAAUUAGCUAGAGUAGCUCCGUGCAGAGCAUUGUGGACAUAGAAUAUUUGCAAAAUACAUACGGCUCUGAAUAUGACAGACCCGUUGACUAAGCUUCUCUCAUGAGCAAAACAUGAUCAUACCUUUUGGGUGUUAAUCAUAUAGCGAUGUGAACUAGAUUAUUGACUCUAGUAAAACCCUUUGGGUGUUGAUCACAUGACGAUGUGAACUAUAGGUGUUAAUUAUAUACAGAUAUGAAUAUUGAUGUUAAAUCACAUGGUGAUGUGAACUAGAUUAUUGACUCUAGUGCAAGUGGGAGACUGGAGGAAAUAUGCCCUAGAGGCAAUAAUAAAGUUAUUAUUUAUUUCCUUAUAUCAUGAUAAAUGUUUAUUAUUCAUGCCAGAAUUGUAUUAACCGGAAACAUGAUACAUGUGUGAAUACAUAGACAAACAUAUAGUCACUAGUAUGCCUCUACUUGACUAGCUCAUUAAUCAAAGAUGGUUAUGUUUCCUAACCAUAGACAUGUGUUGUCAUUUGAUUAAUGAGGUCACAUCAUUAGGAGAAUGAUGUGAUUGACAUGACCCAUUCCGUUAGCCUAGCACUUGAUCGUUUAGUAUGUUGCUAAUGCUUUCUUCAUGACUUAUACAUGUUUCUGUAACUAUGAGAUUAUGCAACUCCCGUUUACCGGAGGAACACUUUGGGUGCUACCAAACGUCACAACGUAACUGGGUGAUUAUAAAGGAGUACUACAGGUGUCUCCAAAGGUACAUGUUGGGUUGGCGUAUUUCGAGAUUAGGUUUUGUCACUCCGAUUGUCGGAGAGGUAUCUCUGGGCCCUCUCGGUAAUGCACAUCACUAUAAGCCUUGCAAGCAAUGUAGCUAAUGAGUUGGUUACGGAAUGAUACAUUAUGCAACGAGUAAAGAGACUUGCCAGUAACGAGAUUGAACUAGGUAUUGGAUACCAACGAUCGAAUCUCGGGCAAGUAACAUACCGAUGACAAAGGGAACAACGUAUGUUGUUAUGCGGUUUGACCGAUAAAGAUCUUUGUAGAAUAUGUAGGAGCCAAUAUGAGCAUCCAGGUUCCACUAUUGGUUAUUGACCAAUAAUAGUUCUAGGUCAUGUCUACAUAGUUCUCGAACCCGUAGGGUCCGCACGCUUAAGGUUUCGAUGACAGUUAUAUUAUGAGUUUAUGUGUUUUGAUGUACCGAAGGAGUUAGGAGUCCCGGAUGAGAUCGGAGACAUGACGAGGAGUCUCGAAAUGGUCGAGACGUAAAGACUAAAGAUUGAUAUAUUGGACGACUAUAUUCGGAGUUCGGAAAGGUUCCGAGUGACUCGGGUAUUUUUCGGAGUACCGGAGAGUUACGGGAAUUCGUGGGAGAGUAUAUGGGCCUUAUUGGGCCAUACGGGAAUAGAGGAUAGAGGCCGAAAGGAAGGAGGCGCGCAGCCCCCCUCUGGUCCGAAUUGGACAAGGGGUGCGGCCCCCUUUUCCUUCCUCCUCUCCCCCUCUUUCCCCCUUCUCCUACUCCAACAAGGAAGGAGGGAGUCCUACUCCCGGUGGGAGUAGGACUCCCCUUGGCGGGCCCCUCCUAGGCCGGCCGCCCCCUCCCCCCUUGCUCCUUUAUAUACGGGGGCAGGGGGGCACCUCUAGGCACAACACAAGUUGAUCUACGGAUCGUUCCUUAGCCGUGUGCGGUGCUUCCCUCCACCAUAUUCCACCUCGGUCAUAUCGUCGCGGAGUUUAGGCGAAGCCCUGCGCCGGUAGAGCAUCAUCAUCUUCACCACGCCGUCGUGCUGACGGAACUCAUCCCCGACACUUUGCUAGAUCGGAGUCCGGGGAUCGUCAUCGAGCUGAACGUGUGCUAAACUCGGAGGUGCCGUACAUUCGGUACUUGGAUCGGUCGGAUCGUGAAAACGUACGACUACAUCAACCGUGUUGUCAUAACGCUUCCGCUUACGGUCUACGAGGGUACGUGGACAAUACUCUCCCCUCUCGUUGCUAUGCCAUCACCAUGAUCUUGCGUGUGCGUAGGAAUUUUUUGAAAUUACUACGUUCCCCAACAGCAACUCACAAGCACUUUCUAUUAAAUGCACAUGCUAUUUUCUUUUGUAUCAUGUCAUUUUGUGGUCAUUAACAAUCAGAUGGAUAAAACUGAUCUUGUUUUGUGCAUCAUGGAUUUUCCUCAACUGAAUGAGUAGAAACAUAAGUGUGUAAUGUAGUAGCCCCUCAAUUCCAUUGUUAUAAAUAUUAUAGUUUUUCAAUCCUGCUGACCUGAUCGUAACAGUUGUUUAAAAGGAAGUGAUCACAUCACUAUUUAGAUUUUACUUUUUUUUGAAUGCUUGAACAUAAGAUUAGUUCCCCCCCCCCUUCUUUUUACCCUUCAUGCUAACAUAAUAAAUACAUAUUUUAACUGAAUUGGUUGUAUUACAUAUGCCACGAAGGUUGUCGCCGCUUGAAGCUCGAUUUCCAUCAGCCCCUCUUUUAAUUCACUUGCAUCGUUUCAGCUUUGCAUUGUACUUCUUUGACGAAUUACCUCAUCCAAUCGGCUUUAAUUCGGAGCAUUAAUCUUACUAAUUAUCAUUGCCUUUACUUUCCAUAUGGACCUCUUACAGGAAACAAAGACUCCUAUUUGUCUGUAGAGCAUGUGGAGCUGUUGGGCAAGCAGAGUUCUAUCUGGGUAUUCAGGUAGCUGAGGAUAACAGGGAAAAGGAAAAUCUCCAGGCUAUCAUGCAUACCAUGCAUCUCUAAAGGCUCAUGUGUGAGGUCAGUUCAAUUUUAAUCUCUGGUAAUUUAGUGUAUUCUCAGACCAGUCAACCAUUUAUAGUUUUUCUAACUCACCUUUGUAAAUAUUUGGCACCACAACACUACGUAGUUUCUAUGUUUUAGCUUUGAGUUGUCAAUUUUGUAACUUUGCAGUGUUUCCUUUGAUUUUGGCAUGUAUAAACUCAUAUUUAAUUUCGCGGUGUUCCUCCGAUUUUGGUCAUGAGUCGAACAACUGAGAAUUCGAGAACCAAGUUGCCGCUUAUCACUUCAGGAGAAAUAGGUUGACUGAACCUGUUGACUGUUGUUGUCUUAGUCGCUUGGAUCUUGGGUUCAUUAUAUCUUAUAUUGUUGUGAGCUAUUUCUAAUGCAUUUUGUGAUAUUUAUAUCAUAGUCUGUUCCGAGCUUCAUAGAAAUUUCUAAGGAAUGAAUAGAUAAUGGCAUGCAAAGUUUAACUGUAAUUAUAAGUUCAUAAGGUUUAAUAGGUUCAAAUAUUGGUAGCACAAUAUCUGAUGUUGUCAUGAUGGCGCUUCUGAUUAUAUGCAAGUGCCUGGUUUUCAUACACUCUUCCUUGUGCUGAAGCUUUAAAUACCUAGACCCUCAGUUGUCGGGGAAAUAGUUUGCCAGGCUGAAACAAUCCAAACUUGCAUAGAAUCUAUCUAGAGUAAUCUGGUGAUGUCCUUCAGAGAGCUUGCCUAUCUACUAUCCCAUGACGAGUUAAGUAUCUUCGGAUCCGAGCUUCGCCGCCCAGACCGUGUGAUACCCGGCGAUUUCAUUAGCCAGUGGUUCAUGGUCCAUAAACUUAUCACUUGCCGCUCGCCUUCAGUAAGAUCCUCCUCGCCGAGGCGUUCAUUGCCGAGGCAUCCAUUCGUAGUUUUUUGCCCACUUUGUUUGUUCCUGGCCCUCAUUGUCACGCCGCCAGCACGAUGUCGUGUCUGGCCGCUUGAUUCAUUCGAUGGUGGAGGCGGGUUCAAUUCUUUUUCGUCUUUCGUUUUCUCCCCUUCCCAUGUUCCUCUGUGUUUCUUUUCUUUUCGGAAAGAAGUGAACGUGUUAGGUAUGGGAUGCCGAACCAUGGAUGGACGGGGUUAGCGCCUCGAGGAAGCGACGGUUCUGGUUCUAGGGAGGAAGAGACACGCCAAAUCUUUCCGAUCCCCACGCAUGUGGCUUUGCUGAUUUCGAUUAGCCUCCAUCUCGCUGUUGGGAUGGGGAUGUUUAAUGGAUCCGUGCUUCUCUCGCUUCAUGUGCAUCCAUCCCGUCCUCCUGUAUGUACGUCGUUGACUCGUUUUCCGAGUCUAAUAGAGAAUUGUCUCUGUGUAUGUGCAAUCUACAGCGUACUUUGGGGGAGGAGUACCACCCAUGGAUUGAUCCUUCGCUGGCAGGGCCGGGGCCAGGCCGGCGGUCAUGUCUUUCAGGUUGGCAGCGAGGGAGGAGCAGCAAGGCAAGCUCAUGUUACCCAAGUAGCAGGCCUCCUGUGUCCUGAGUCCUGAUGCCACAGGUAGCUGGAGCUGUUGUUGCCCUUGGUUUAUGCAUGAUGUAUGUUUUGCCUGCCAGCUUUUUUGAUUGGUCCAUCUAUGUUGUGUGAGAUCGUUUGGUGUUGAGAGUCAUGGCAGCGCUAAACAUGUUCUUGUUGCAUAUUGUUUUGAUUUCUUUAAAUGAAUAUUAGGCAUAGCAGUGGCCGAAGGCGGCCGGGUUCUUGCACCUAUCGGAGCUAGAGGAUUCCGUCGCUUAAGCCAAUGGGUGGAAGUCCUUCUUUACAAGCAGCAGCUCCACAAUCGCCUUUGCCAUUGAUGUCAGUGAGUCAGCUAGAUCAAGUUGCCUUCUUGCUAUUACCGCCCUUGUUGUUUCUUGUGUUGCUUUUCAAUGGGAUUGCUUGCCUGGUGUAUUGCACUUUAGGUAUGUAGCCCAGGUUUCCCAUAUGUAAUGUAGAUGCUAGAAGCUCAACCUCGUGUACAUGGUUUUGGGGAGGAGAUCAAGUCAGCAGCUGAUUGAAAAGUUCAGAGAUGAGAAUGACAACUACAUGAAGAAUGUUAUAAGUGGAAUAUACAAAAGAAAUUAUGUUUUCCUUACUGAUGCCUGCAUGCAAGUAUCCUAACCCUGGCACCUGCAUUACUUUAUGUAGAUGCAAAUAUCACGAAGCCACCAGCAUAAGGGUAUAUUUUGUUUAAUUCGGAUUAAUUUCUUAUGAUGUGCCUUUGAGGUCAUUUAUGAUUGGCUACGAUUGGUGUCAUUUAUCUGUUUUUAUGUGAUAGUUAAUAUUUUAUUAAGAUUAGGUUAAAAAAUUAGUCCAGAUUAUAUUUCUUUGAAAGAGAAAAAUGCCAAGGUUGAUAAAUGCCCAAGAUAGGUGCUUGCAUUCUUCAUCCUUCAUGCUUCAAGUAUGUGCUUCGGUAGGAGACUUGCCUCCAUUUGUUUCUCCAGAAGAUGAGGCUGGAUGAGAAAAAUGUGCAUUUUCGGUACCUUUUGCUUCAGAUUCAGAAGAAACAUAUGGUGCUUUUUGUUCUAUACUCGGUUCAUGUCUUAUCAUUUCACGUAUCUUUUCUCUGAACUAUACAUGAUUGUUUGGUCGUUAGAAAUUUCACAACAUUAAAUUCUAGAAAAAUUCCACUACAAUCUUUACUACUAUUGAAAGUGUGUAAUAGUGAGAGAAUAAUAAGCAACACGUCCAGCUGCUAUAAAACAGAAGUGUUAGGCAACGUAACAGAAGUGCUCCUAAGCGGCGUGUCCGACUGCUAUUCUACGGGUCAGAUGAAGAUCUUGGCGCUAUGGCGUGGCAGGAUGGUGAUCAGCGGCAUGGAGGGAGAGCACCGCAGUCGGCAGCAGCACGGCUGGUUGAUCUGUGGCGGCGCAAACAGAGAGAUUUGCGACGCGGCAUGGCAUGCUGGUGUGUAGCAGCAUGGAGGGAGAGCUUGGCUGUCGGCAACAGCUCCGUCGACUGAUAUGCAGCUACACAGAAGUUGGACUGGAAAGCAUAGCCCGUGUGCAUGACAUCCAACCCAGUGGCAUCAUGCCUAGCUAGGUAAGCUUCUCAUUUGUUCCAAUUCUUGCACAUGGUCUUUUUCUUCCUGAACCUGCAAAAAGAGUUUGCCUUGAUUACGAAUAAUAAAGCUUUAAAAGCUGAUGUCCACCGCGUUUAUCUUGCUACUGGUGGUAAUGUGUACAAGUAUGAUUUUAUCGGACCUAUACUUUUACCAUAGUUCCAAAAUAUUUCAUGUAAAUAACUAUACAUGGUACAAGUACUCGAAACUGACCUGGUGUGAUAAUUUAUCACUGCUGCAGUGUGCAAACGACGUGUUUUUUCAUUAUAUUUUAGUUUUAUUUAUCCUGUAAAAUUUAUAGUUAAAUUAUACAUUAUAAUGGUUGAUUUUCAUGGUCAGAGGUAGACAUGGUCGAGUGGCCACGGGGACAAUGGGGGAAGUAGCGUAUGAGGAGUUUAAGAAAUGGGGACAAGCGAUAUUUUAGUUAAUCAGGGCUCUAUUAGUUUGAAGUUUUAUCUUUGUUAUGGUAAAAAAUUAAGGUUAGAUUAAUAUAAUGAAAAUAUUAUUGUGAACUGAUAAAAUUUCUAUAAUUUCUACAAGUACGAGGUCAAGCAUGAAAGUGCAACGAGAAGAGGGGUGGGGAUAAGAUUUGAUAUCGUUUGGUCUUCUUGCAAGGAGUGCAUGGUUAUGAAGAAAUAAUAACUGUCAAGGCUGAAAGAACAAGAGAGAAUAAGUUCUAUUAAUGUAUGGAUGAAAACCACAUGCCACCUUUUCCAACACAUUUCUGAAUUGGGAUAAUUAUUCGAUUGCUGUGUUUUUUUAAUUUCGUGGCAAUGCACAGACAUUCAACUAGAAAAUUCAUAUUUAUAGGUUAGUCACCCACCUUUUUCAUACUAUUUACAUAUUUGCCACUUGUUAGCAAGUUUGCAUAUGAUGCUGGGAAAUUCAACAUAGGGAAGUGAACAUAAGGACAUGGAAAUGUUACACUUCGAAUAUGAUAGAAACUCAAAAUCAAAAUAACAAAUUAGUUGCUCUGUCAGUCGGUAAGCAUGAAAUGUAAGCCUCCUAAAUAAGAUAUUAGCUCUCCCAAUUCUUGAGGCUGGAAAUACAAGCAUCCUUGUAAAUAAGAUAUUACCUAUUUUCAUGAUGGAAAUGCAAGCAUCCAAAAUUAACAACAAUAUUUAUAAAGCUGAAAACAGUCUUGCAAUCUUGGUGUAAGAAUGAAAGGUAAGUAGCAUCCCCGAUUUUGCUAAUUCUUGUGACGUUCAAAUCCAUAUUAGCUAUUUCAGAAAAGAAGAGGUCAGAGGAUCACAUGAUAUAUAUAUACCAUUUUGUAUAUCAUGGCAGUGAAAACACAUUGUAGUGGUCUCCAUCAGCUAUCAUGGUGUGCCUUCCUUGGCACUGGUAAUCACCCUGGGACGCCGUAGUGGGAGAGGAGGGGGAGGUCGAUGCCGUGGAGGGAAGGGUAGAUGACGCUGAGAGGAAGGUGUGGGCUGAGCGCCAUGGCGUGCUUUGAUUUCAACGGCGUCAACGACGAGAGCAAGAUGGGGGAAUGAGAUGUCAGUGUGAACUUUGUGCCAUGCAGUGAGAUAAUGAGACAGUGAAUUGCUUUUUCAAGAAGAAAAGGAAGAUUUUUUUAGGGAAAGCGAUUAUUUGCUAUAAGAGAAAUGUCACAUACUUUUAUAUAGUGAAAAAUAUCAGAUCCCUAACAAGUCAUUUUUAUGAUGGACCAAACCAGAAAAUCAUCGAGUUCUAACAAUCAGUUGAGAUGUAUUCAAAUAAUUAUUUUUUAUAUAUUUCAAUCCAAAUAAAUAUUUUUUGCGCAUGAUAGAAGAGGUGUGUUUCUAUAUAUGUUUACUUUUGUAGAGUAUGAGAGAGAUCAAGAUGGAUUAUGUCGACAUUCAAAACGAAUGCACCAAUAGUCUGUUGAGGCGAUGGCUUUGAAAGACGCAAAUUUUUUACCAAGUUUUAUACAACAAAAGGCCCGUGGCAACGCACGGACAUUUUACUAGGCAGAUUGAUACAAGACUUUACAGGGAGAGAACGUGGUCUCAUCUAAUUGGCCUUCACUGGUGGGCCCGCCCUCCUAAUUAAAUCUCCUCUCGUACGUCUAGCAUUGCUCAUGAAGGGGCCCACCUCAAUUCAGGGGGAGGGAGAUAAUUAGUUUGGGAAGUUAAGUAAAAUAUUUGUAGAAUUUUGUAGGUCUAGCAGUAUAUUGGACUGAAAAACAUGUGACCUAUUGUAUCAUCUAUCACGUUAAGAGUGUAUUGCAGUUAUUUCAUUUGAGUAACAGUUCCGCUUAUAUUUCAUUUGAGUACAUUAUUCUGGCCACCAAUCUUGAGCACUCGAUGAAGGGUCCGGGAUCUGCCGGCACUCAAUUUUCCGCUUUCAUAAGCUACACACUACACAGAACCGGAGGGUGAGGGGGCGGGGUAGGAACUCGCGCAGUCUGCUGGGGCGAAGGUCACGGUGCCCUUGUCGAGAUCAUACCCAACGUGCAUGUUCUGCUGGGCGAUGUUCCCGAUGAUCGACGCCGGUAACUGCUCCGACAUCGCCGCCACCGCCAAGCACAGGAUCCCCUCCUGCACCUCCACGAACGUGUUCUCCGCCUUCAGCGUGACCGCAACGCUGCCGCCCAGCCCCAGCGUCACGUCAGGGAUCAUGGCCGCAACCUGCCCCUCCCGCACCCUGCUCACGUCGAAGCACAGCGGCAGGAACUUUUCUGGCGACUGGGCAGGCGGGAGCUUGAUCCGCCGUGUCAGCUCCUUCACAAGUGGGUCUAAAAGCGCCUCCGGGAGGUAUGUGAGCGUCGUGCCGGAGUCGACGAUGACGGGGGACUGGUCCGGCGCCGCGAAGGUCUUGUCCCCGACCUUGACGGACCGGAGCUCGACGGUGUAGUAUGCCUUCACUUGGGAUGGGAUCAGCGGCGUCGUCGCCGCGCCCGGAUCCGUGACGGUGGCCCGGGGGCCGAAGUUGAGCGC